This 53490-nucleotide long non-coding RNA is filed under the name Hordeum vulgare. RNAcentral describes it as "long non-coding RNA (HVUL_LNC004938)". The record is from RNAcentral. Lineage: Eukaryota; Viridiplantae; Streptophyta; Magnoliopsida; Poales; Poaceae.
GAACAAGAGUGUUACGUUCCCUUCCACAAACAAUUUCCCUUAUAUAUAACUAAAGCAAUUCUAGACUCAACUUCGACCAGUUUGGCUUAGUAAUCCUACAGUCAGUCAGGCUCUGAUACCAAAGCUGUCGGGACCCCGAUCCUAAGCCAUAGGAAUCCAGCCUGUAACACAUCGCAUCCCUUUGUGGCCUCACGCACGGUUAACUCCACGGCUGCAGCCUUACCUUAGCCGGGACCGUUUGCGGCUUUUGACUCACGUAUGCGAUAGUGUCGCUAGCAUUCCAAUGUCAAAGAACCCGGAUCGACAUGUCUAGUCAUAAACCAAAGUGGCAGUUCCGCACAAGGACAGGCAUACAUGACCCAACAAAGCAGGUGUCGGUCAUCAACGAACGUAGACGAGUCGUAGCAAGCUACAAGGACUCCGUUACGUCACGUGACAUUUCCCCAAAGGGGACAGACACAGCAGCUAAGAAGGACACAUGCCGGUCAACCAAUGUGUCCGGAGCAGUAGCGAACUACCAAGGCCCGUUGGAUCACAAAGGGGCAUUUCCUUGUAAGGAGUGCUACUAAAGUUCACGACUAGGUAUUCGAACCCCAUACAUAUCAAGUACGACACACGUACGCAUGGCAUACCGAUAUGUAUAGAUAUAUCGAUGGCAUCACAACAUAACCAUAAACAUACAAGCUUUAUUUAAGAGGCUCGGAAGAGCCACACACAUAUUAUUACACAUUAAGGGUCUCACGACCCAUAAUAGCAGUCAUACAAUACAAGCCAGCGGAAGAGUUAUAAACUGUCUGGGUACAGACAGAGCAACUAGAAGGCACAUGGCCUGACUAUACUACAGAGCCGACGUAGGGCCAGAUCGUAGCUGGGACACCAGCUACUCAUCGUCGUCGAUGUCUACGAAGAACCCUCCAUUAGGGUCAUUAGCAACCCCUGCAAUAUUUAUUAAGCAAACAUGAGUAUGAAGGUACUCAGCAAGACUUUAGGAUGACUAACUACUCAUGCAAGGUAUCAAGAAGGUAUUGUGGGGUUUCNUCUACGAAGAACCCUCCAUUAGGGUCAUUAGCAACCCCUGCAACAUUUAUUAAGCAAACAUGAGUACGAAGGUACUCAGCAAGACUUUAGGAUGACUAACUACUCAUGCAAGGUAUCAAGAAGGUAUUGUGGGGUUUCAUGCGGGAAGCCAGCAUUUGACUCGUGGCUAGACAACUUGCUUUUGAAAUUAGUUUUGACAACUUGUUUNAUGCGGGAAGCCAGCAUUUGACUCGUGGCUAGACAACUUGCUUUUGAAAUUAGUUUUGACAACUUGUUUUCUCGCACACGAGUCCACUAACACCACAACAAUACACUAUCGUGGAAUCAUUCCGUCUCCAUACGGAAAUGCCGUCCACGACANNNNNNNNNNNNNNNNNNNNNNNNNNNNNNNNNNNNNNNNNNNNNNNNNNNNNNNNNNNNNNNNNNNNNNNNNNNNNNNNNNNNNNNNNNNNNNNNNNNNCCGGCCACACCCACCCAAACCCUAGCCCACGUCGCCAGGAACCGCGAGGGGUUCCUCACCCUCGCCACCUAUCACCCCGCCGCCAGGAAGCCCCUCGUCCCCACCUACCGCGUUCCUCCCCAUCGAGCCCCACCCCCUCGAGAGCUCCCCCACCCCCAGAUCGCCACCAACCCACCGACACACCCGGCCCCCCACCUACCACGCAACCGAAGGCCCCCUCCUCUCGGUCCUCUCCCCCCACGACACCCAUGAGAGGACCCCCCCCUCAUCCUACUCUCUCCCAACCGGCUGCCCCAGCCCGAUCCCCCAUCCCCCGAUCCGCCCCUUCCCCACGAGAGCUGAGAGAGAGAGAGCCCACGGCCUCCCGGAUCUCCCCCCAGUGACCGGCCUCCCCUGCACCCGUCGGCCCCCCAUCCUCCCGCCGGCGGCUGCCUGCCGCCUCCCUCCCUGCUAACCCGAGCCUCCUAGGGACGGAGCCCCUUCCUCGCCGGCCGAACCGCCCCAAGCCCCAUCGGGAGUCCCGCAGAUCGGCCUCCCUCCCCUGCACCGCCCCACCGCGGCCCCGGGAGCCCCUCCGGCGGCGCUCACAUCUCCAUGGGCCCCUCCUCACCGGGGCCCCUCUCGGCGACCCUCCGUCCGGCUCCCCUCGCCGGCCCCGACCUCCGGGAGGCUUUCUCCGGCGACCCAGCUCGUCGGAUCCGUCAUCACCACCUCCGGGAACGCCUCCACGCCAUCUCCUCCGCCCCUUCCCGCGAACUCCGGCUUCACCGGGCCGUCUCGUCAACGUCGGUGAGCCCCUCCUCGGGCUCCUCCCACCAUCUCGUUCCCCUCACCGUCCCGGUUCCGUUCCGACGAACAGCGCUCCGUUCCGACGACGUGAUGUUCGCGUAGGAGAGAAUGAAGUUAGUGUUUCUUCUCUGUUGUGAAGAGAAGAAGCAGAGAAGAAGAUUGUGUGUUAACAGACACACGGAGAUGAGAGUUUUUGAAAGAAAUAAAAUAAACGUUGUAUUUGCAUAUGUAUUUUUGUAUGUAUGAGAUGCACGUAUGUAUGUAUGUAUUUCGGUAUAUGGCGGUAUACGUUAUUUGUUUGUAUAUGUAUCUGUGAGUAAAAAGGUGUAUUUGGCCUAAAGCCACUUACCGGUGGGGCCAACGCACCCCGCUGUCUAUGACAGGGAGGCCCCACACCCUCUCUUUAAGNNNNNNNNNNNNNNNNNNNNNNNNNNNNNNNNNNNNNNNNNNNNNNNNNNNNNNNNNNNNNNNNNNNNNNNNNNNNNNNNNNNNNNNNNNNNNNNNNNNNAUCUACGUACCCUUGUAGAUCGCACAACAGGAAGCGUUAAGAAACGCGGUUGAUGUAGUGGAACGUCCUCACGUCCCUCGAUCCGCCCUGCGAACCAUCCCACGAACCGUCCCGCGAUCCAUCCCACGAUCCGUCCCGCAAUCCGUCCCACGAGCCGUCUCACGAUCCGUUGCAUGAACCAUUUUGCGAUCCAUCUCACGAUCCGUUCCGAUCUAGUGCCGAACGGACGGCACCUCCGCGUUCAACACACGUACAGCUCGACGAUGAUCUCGGCCUUCUUGAUCCAGCAAGAGUGAUAGAGAGGUAGAUGAGUUCCCCGGCAUCGUGACGGCGCUCCGGAGGUUGGUGGAGAUCUAUCUCAGCAGGGCUCCGGCCGAACUCCGUAGAAAUACGAUCUAGAGGAAAAACCAUGGAGGUAUGUGGUCGGGCUGCCGUGGCAAAGUUGUGUCUCAAAAACCCCCAAUACCUCUAGUAUAUAUAGGAGGGAGGGAGGGGNNNNNNNNNNCCCGACAGCAUGACGGUGCUCUGAAGGUUGGUGGUGAUCUAUAUCAGUAGGGCCCCGCCCGAGCUCCGCAGAAAUACGAUCUAGAGGAAAAAACCGUGGAGGUAUGUGGUCGGGCUGCCGUGGCAAAGUUGUAUCUCAAAAACCCCCAAUACCUCUAGUAUAUAUAGGAGGGAGGGAGGGGAGGAGGCAGCCUCAAACCCUCAAGGUUUGGCCGAAAUUGGAGGUGGAGGAGUCUUACUCCAAUCCUACUUGGAGUAGGAUUCCACCUUCCCACUUGGAAACUCUUUCCACCUUGUGUUUUUCCUUCUCAAACCUUAUGGGCCUUAGUGGGAACUUAUUACAGCCCACUAGGGGCUGGUUUAUAUCUUCCCAUAGCCCAUGAGACCCCNNNNNNNNNNNNNNNNNNNNNNNNNNNNNNNNNNNNNNNNNNNNNNNUCGGCACUCCCGAUACAUUACCGAUAAGCCCGAACCUUUUCCGGUGACCAAAACAGGACUUCCUAUAUAUCAAUCUUUACCUUCGGACCAUUCCGGAGCUCCUCAUGACGUCCUGGAUCUCAUCCGAGACUCCGAACAACUUUCGGUUACCAACACCUAUAACUCAACUAUACCGAAAACAUCGUCGAACCUUAAGUGUGCAGACCCUGCGGGUUCGAGAACUAUGUAGACAUGACCUGAGAGACUCCUCGGUCAAUAUCCAAUAGCUGGACCCGGACGCCCAUAUUGGAUCCUACAUAUUCUCCGAAUAACUUAUCGGUUGAACCUCAGUGUCAAGGAUUCAUAUAAUCCCGUAUGUCAUUCCCUNNNNNNNNNNNNNNNNNNNNNNNNNNNNNNNNNNNNNNNNNNNNNNNNNNNNNNNNNNNNNNNNNNNNNNNNNNNNNNNNNUGGUAUGUUACUUGCAAGAGAUUCGAUCGUUAGUAUCCGCAUACCUAUUUCAAUNNNNNNNNNNNNNNNNNNNNNNNNNNNNNNNNNNNNNNNNNNNNNNNNNNNNNNNNNNNNNNNNNNNNNNNNNNNNNNNNNNNNNNNNNNNNNNNNNNNNAAUUUCCGGACCAUUCCGGAAACCCUCGUGACGUCCGUGAUAUCAUCCGGGACUCCGAACAACAUUCGGUAACCAACCAUAUAACUCAAAUACGCAUAAAACAACGUCGAACCUUAAGUGUGCAGACCCUGCGGGUUCGAGAACUAUGUAGACAUGACCCGAGUGACUCCUAGGUCAAUAUCCAAUAGCGGGACCUGGAUGCCCAUAUUGGAUCCCACAUAUUCUACGAAGAUCUUAUCGUUUGAACCUCAGUGCCAAGGAUUCNNNNNNNNNNCAUUCUUGGUAACUCCGAAAACCUUCCCGUAAUAAAAUAAGGUCAUCCUAUAUAUCAAUCUUCGUUUCCGGACCAUUCCAGAAACCCUCGUGACGUCCGUGAUCUCAUCCGGGACUCCGAACAACAUUCGGUAACCAACCAUAUAACUCAAANNNNNNNNNNCGUUUCCAGACCAUUUCGGAAACCCUCGUGGCAUCCGUGAUCUCAUCUGAGACUCCGAACAACAUUCGGUAACCAACCAUAUAACUCAAAUACGCAUAAAACAACGUCGAACCUUAAGUGUGCAGACCCUGCGGGUUCGAGAACUAUGUAGACAUGACCCGAGAGACUCCUCGGUCAAUAUCCAAUAGCGGGACCUGGAUGCCCAUAUUGGAUCCUACAUAUUCUACGAAGAUCUUAUCGUUUGAACCUCAGUGCCAAGGAUUCAUUAAUCUCGUAUGUCAUUCCCUUUGUCCUUCGGUAUGUUACUUGCCCGAGAUUCGAUCGUCAGUAUCCGCAUACCUAUUUCAAUCUCGUUUACCGGCAAGUCUCUUGACUCGUUCCGUAAUACAAGAUCCCGCAACUUACACUAAGUCAAAUUGCUUGCAAGGCUUGUGUGUGAUGUUGUAUUACCGAUUGGGCCCCGAGAUACCUCUCCGUCACACGGAGUGACAAAACCCAGUCUCGAUCCAUACUAACUCAAUGAACACCUUCGGAGAUACCUAUAGAGCAUCUUUAUAGUCACCCAGUUACGUUGCGACGUUUGAUACACANNNNNNNNNNCUCAACUAACACCUUCGGAGAUACCUGUAGAGCAUCUUUAUAGUCACCCAGUUACNNNNNNNNNNNNNNNNNNNNNNNNNNNNNNNNNNNNNNNNNNNNNNNNNNNNNNNNNNNNNNNNNNNNNNNNNNNNNNNNNNNNNNNNNNNNNNNNNNNNAUGUGAUGUUAAUCCUUUUAUGCACCUUAUUUUGCUUAGAACGACGGUAGCAUUACAAGGUGAUCCAUCACUAAAAUUCUCAAGAUAAAAUUGUGUUCUCCCCGAUUGUGCAUCGUUGUGACAGUUCGUAGUUUCGAGACACCACGUGAUGAUCGGGUGUGAUAGACUCAACGUUCACAUACAAUGGGUGCAAUACAGUUGCACACGCGCAACACUCGUGUUAAACUUGACGAGCCAAGCAUGUACAGACAUGGCCUCAGAACACAAGAGACCGAAAGGUCGAGCAUGAAUCAUAUAGUAGAUAUGAUCAACAUAGAGAUGUUCACCACUGAAACUAUAGUCAACUCACGUAAUGAUCGGACUUGAGUUAGUGAAUUUGGAUCAUGCGNNNNNNNNNNUACAGUUCAUCGUUUUGAGACACCACGUGAUGAUCGGGUGUGAUAGACUCAACGUUCAAGUGUAAGUGGGUCAUGAACCACUCAAAUGACUAGAGAGAUGUACUUUUUGAGUGGGAGUUUAGCAAGUAAUGUGAUUAAGUUAAACUCUAAUUAUCUUGAACAUAGUCUAAGUCCACUUUGAAUAUAUUUGUGUUGUAGAACAUGGCUCACGCGACAGUCACCCUGAAUUUUAAUACGUUCCUAGAGAAAGCUAAGUUGAAAGAUGAUGGAAGCAACUUUGUAGACUGGGCUCGUAAUCUUAAGUUGAUCCUACAAGCUGGGAAGAAGGAUUAUGUCCUUAAUGCUGCGCUAGGAGAUGAACCACCCGCUACGGCUGACCAGGAUGCUAAGAACGCUUGGUUAACACGUAAGGAGGACUACUCAAUAGUUCAAUGUGGACUUAGNNNNNNNNNNCACUGGGCUCGUAAUCUUAAGCUAAUCUUACAAGCUGGGAAGAAGGAUUAUGUCCUUAAUGCUGCGUUAGGAGAUGAACCACCCGCUACGGCUGAUCAGGAUGUUAAGAACGCUUGGUUAGCACGUAAGGAGGACUACUCAAUAGUUCAAUGUGCAGUCUUGUAUGGCUUAGAACCGGGACUUCAACGUCGCUUUGAGCGUCAUGGAGCAUUUCAGAUGUUGCAGGAGUUGGAGUUUAUCUUUCAGAAGAACGCCCGGAUCGAGAGGUAUGAGACCUCCGAUAANNNNNNNNNNGCUUUGAGCGUCAUGGAGCAUAUGAGAUGUUCCACGAGUUGAAGUUUAUCUUUUAGAAGAACGCCCGGAUCGAGAGGUAUGAGACCUCCGAUAAAUUCUCUGCUUGCAAGAUGGAGGAGAAUUCGUCUGUCAGUGAACAUGUGCUCAAAAUGUCUGGGUACUCAAACCGUCUAGCUGAGCUGGGGAUUGAACUCCAGCAAGAGGCUAUCACUAACAGAAUUCUUCAAUCACUGCCGCCAAGCUAUAAGGGCUUUGUGUUGAACUACAACAUGCAAGGGAUGAACAAGUCACCCGGCGAGUUGUUUGCGAUGCUGAAAGUCGCAGAGUCUGAACUCCGUAAAGAGCAUCAAGUGUUGAUGGUGAAUUAGACCACUAGUUUCAAGAGAAAUGGCAAAGGCAAGAAGGGCAAUUCAAAGAAGAGCGGCAAGCCUGUUGCCAAUCCAACGAAGAAACCCAAAGCUGGACCUAAGCCUGAAACAGAGUGCUACUAUUGCAAGGGUAUGGGUCACUGGAAGCGCAACUGCCCCAAGUAUCUCGCUGAUAAGAAGGCAACCAAAGAAAAAUCAGGUAUAUUUGAUAUACAUGUUAUUGAUGUGUACUUAGCCGUCUCUCGUAGUAGUGCGUGGGUAUUCGAUACCGGUUCUGUUGCUCAUAUUUGCAACUCGAAACAGGAACUGCGGAAUAGGCGAAGGCUUGCGAAAGAUGAAGUGACGAUGCGCGUAGGAAAUGGUUCCAAGGUUGAUGCAAUCGUCGUCGGCACAGUUUCACUUCAGUUACCAUCGGGAUUAGUUAUGAACUUGAAUAAUUGUUAUUUAGUGCCUGCGUUGGGCAUGAACAUUAUAUCUGGAUCUUGUUUAUUGCGAGACGGUUACUCUUUUAAAGUCAGAGAAUAAUGGUUGUUCUAUUUCUAUGAGUAACAUCUUUUAUGGUCAUGCACCCAAUGUAGGAGGAUUGUUCAUAUUGAAUCUUGAUAGUGAUACACAUAUACAUAACAUUGAGACCAAAAGAGUUAGAGUUAACAAUGAUAGCGCCAUGUUUUUGUGGCACUGCCGCUUAGGUCAUAUUGGUGUAAAGCGCAUGAAGAAACUCCAUACCGAUGGACUUUUGGAAUCACUUGACUUUCAUUCACUUGACACGUGCGAACCAUGCCUCAUGGGCAAGAUGACUAAAACUCCAUUCUCCGGAACAAUGGAGCGUGCCAGUGACUUAUUGGAAAUCAUACAUACCGAUGUGUGUGGUCCGAUGAGCGUGGAGGCACGCGGAGGAUAUCGUUAUUUUCUCACCUUCACUGACGAUUUGAGUAGAUAUGGUUAUGUCUACUUAAUGAAGCACAAGUGUGAAACAUUUGAAAAGUUCAAGCAAUUUCAGAGUGAAGUUGAAAAUCAUCGUAACAAGAAUAUCAAGUUCCUACGGUCUGAUCGUGGGGGUGAAUAUCUGAGUUUCGAGUUUGGUGCUCACUUAAGACAAUGUGGAAUUGUUUCACAAUUGACACCGCCUCGAACACCACAGCGUAAUGGUGUGUCCGAACGUCGUAAUCGUACUUUAUUAGAGAUGGUGCGAUCUAUGAUGUCUCUUACCGAUUUGCCGUUUUUUCUUUGGGGUUAUGCAUUAGACACAGUUGCAUUCACUUUAAAUAGGGCACCAUCAAAAUACAUUGAGACGACACCAUACGAACUGUGGUAUGGCAAAAUGCCAAGGUUGUAGUUUCUUAAAGUUUGGGGAUGUGAUGCUUAUGUCAAAAAGCUUCAUCCUGAAAAGCUUGAACCCAAAGCGGAAAAGUGCAUCUUCAUAGGUUACCCAAAAGAAACAGUUGGGUACACCUUCUAUCUCAAAUCCGAGGGCAAAGUGUUUGUUGCUAAAAACGGAGCUUUUCUCGAGAAGGAGUUUCUCUNNNNNNNNNNCUGGGAGGAAUAGAGAACUUGAUGAGGUUGUUGAACCUCUCAUCCCUCUGGAUGGUGGCGCAGGGCAAGGGGAAACCCCUGUCGUUGCGACGCCGGUUGAGGAGGAAGUUAAUGAUGAUGAUCAUGAAACUCCGGUUCAAGUUCCUAUCGAACCACGCAGGUCGACGAGACCACGUGCUGCUCCAGAGUGCUACGGUAAUCCCGUUUCGUCAAUCAUGUUGUUAGACAACAAUGAACCUGCAAAUUAUGAAGAAGCAAUGGUGGGCCCAGAGUCCAACAAAUGGCUGGAGGCCAUGAAGUCCGAGAUAGGAUCCAUGUAUGAAAACAAAGUGUGUACUUUGGAAGUACUACCUGAGGGCCGCAAGGCUAUUCAGAACAAAUGGAUCUUUAAGAAGAAGACGGACGCUGACGGCAAUGUGACCGUUUAUAAAGCUCGACUUGUGGCAAAAGGUUUUCCACAAGUUCAAGGAGUUGACUACAAUGAGACAUUCUCACCCGUAGCGAUGCUUAAGUCCGUCAGAAUCAUGUUAGCAAUAGCUGCAUUUUUCGAUUAUGAAAUCUGGCAGAUGGAUGUCGAAAUGGCGUUCCUUAACGGUUUCCUUAAGGAAGAGUUGUAUAUGAUGCAACCCGAAGGUUUUGUCGAUCCUAAGAAUUCGAACAAGGUGUGCAAGCUCCAGCGAUCCAUUUAUGGACUGGUGCAAGCAUCUCGGAGUUGGAACAAACGCUUUGAUGAGGUGAUCAAAGCAUUUGGGUUUAUACAAGUGGUUGGAGAAUCUUGUAUUUACAAGAAAGUGAGUGGGAGCUCUGUGGCAUUUCUAAUAUUAUAUGUGGAUGACAUAUUGCUGAUUGGAAACAACGUAGAGUUUUUAGAGAGCAUAAAGGUUUACUUGAAUAAAAGUUUCUCUAUGAAGGACCUAGGAGAAGCUGCUUACAUUCUAGGCAUUAAGAUCUAUAGGGAUAGAUCAAAACGCCUGAUAGGACUUUCACAAAGCACAUACCUUGAUAAAGUUUUGAAGAGGUUCAAAAUGGAACAGUCCAAGAAAGGGUUCUUGCCAGUUCUGCAAGGUACGAGAUUGAGUAAGACUCAGUGCCCAGCAACUGAUGAAGAUAGAGAGCAUAUGCGCUCCGUCCCCUANNNNNNNNNNNNNNNNNNNNNNNNNNNNNNNNNNNNNNNNNNNNNNNNNNNNNNNNNNNNNNNNNNNNNNNNNNNNNNNNNNNNNNNNNNNNNNNNNNNNUCAGCAAGCGAAGAUGCAAGCACAUUGAAGGCACAUGGCACACAAGCGAACAGAAAGCAAGCGAGAGAAAGGGCGAACGAAAAAGGCAAAUUGGUGAAGUGGGGGAGAGGAAAACGAGAGGCAACUAGCAAACAAAGUAAAUGCAAGAGAUGAGUUUGAGACACCUACUUGGAUGAGUUCUUGACUUGAUCUUCCUCCCCGGCAACGGCGCCAGAAAUCUUUCUGCUACGGUAACAAAAAUCCUACCUUGGCGUUAGGAAUUCUUCUUGCUACUUCUGUGGUUUGCGUCGGUUUUUCCCUUGAAGAGGAAAGGGUGAUGCAGCACAGCAGCAGUAAGUAUUUCCCUCUGUUUGAGAACCAUGGUAUCGAUCCAAAAGGAGGUUCUCGUCAAGUCCAGAGUACCUGCGCAAACACAAACAAGCUUGCAACCAACGCUUCAAAGGGGUUGUCAAUCCCUUCAAGAUUGUUUGCAAAGUGAGAUCUGAAGGCGGAAAGUGCAUAGAAGUAAAAAGUGUAAGGCUGAAAAUAUGGUGUGGAGUAGACCCGGGGGCCAUAGUGUUCACUAGAGGCUUCUCUCAAAAUAGCAAAUAUCACGGUGGGUGAACAAAUUACUAUCGAGCAAUUGAUAGAACCGCGCAAAGUCAUGACGAUAUCUAAGGCAAUGAUCAUACAUAUAGGCAUCACGUCCGACACAAGUAGACCGAUACUUUGUGCAUCUACUGCUAUUACUCCACACAUCGACCGCUAUCCAGCAUGCAUCUAGUGUAUUGAGUUCAUGACGAACAGAGUAACGCCUUAAGCAAGAUGACAUGAUGUAGAGGGAUAAUCUCAAACCAAUGAUGAAAACCCCAUCUUUUUACCCUUGAUGGCAACAACACGAUGUGUAUCUCGCUACCCCUUCUCUCACUUGGUGAGGCCACCGCACGGUAUGAACCCAAAACCAAGCACUUCUCCCAUUGCCAGAAUCAUAGAUCUAGUUGGCCAGACAAAACCCACAACUCGAAGGGGAUUACAAGGAUAUGAAAUCAUGCAUAAGAGAGAUCAGAUGAAACUCAAAUAAGAUUCAUAGAUAAUCAGAUCAUAAAUCCACAAUUCAUCGGAUCUCAACAAACACACCCCAAAAGAAGAUUACAUCGGAUAGAUCUCCAUGAAGAUCAUGGAGAACUUUGUAUUGAAGAUCCAAGAGAGAGAAGAAGCCAUCUAGUUACUAGCUAUGGACCCAUAGGUCUAUGGUGAACUACUCACGCAUCAUCGGAGAGGUCAUGGUGUUGAUGAAGAAGCCCUCCGUUUCCGAAUCCCCCCUCCGGCAGAGCACCAGAACGUGCCCCAGAUGGGAUCUUGCGGACACAAAAGUUUGCGGCGGCGGAAAAGUACUUUUGAUGAUCUCCUGAUUUUUUUGGGAUUUUUAGGGAAUAUAUAGGUGCAACCCCUAGGGCAGACGGUGCCCAUGGUGCCCACAAGCCUAUGGUCCGCGGCCUCCCCCCUGGCCGCGGGGUGGGGGCUUNNNNNNNNNNNNNNNNNNNNNNNNNNNNNNNNNNNNNNNNNNNNNNNNNNNNNNNNNNNNNNNNNNNNNNNNNNNNNNNNNNNNNNNNNNNNNNNNNNNNUGCUAAUGCUUUGUUCCGGUUCUCUAUUAAAAGGAGACCUUAAUAUCCCUUAGUUUCCAUUAGGACCCCGCUACCACGGGAGGGAUGGACAAUAGAUGUCAUGCAAGUUCUUUUCCAUAAGCACGUAUGACUAAAUACGGAAUACAUGCCUACAUUACAUUGACGAACUGGAGCUAGUUAAAUAUCACCCCAUGUUAUAACUGUUACAUGAUGAAUGUCAUGCGACAUAAUUAUCCAUCACCGAUCCAAUGCCUACGAGCUUUUCCUACUGGUCCUUGCUAAGUUACUUUACCGAUGCUGCUGUCACUCCUGCUACUGUUACCGCUGCUACCAUUGCUAUCACACUACUCUGCUACUGAAACUUUGCUGCAGAUACUAAGUCUUUCACGUGUGGUUGUAUUGACAACUCAACUGCUAAUACUCGAGAAUAUUCUUUGGCUUCCCCUUGUGUCGAAUCAACAAAUUUGGGUUGAAUACUCUACCCUCGAAAACUAUUGCGAUCCCCUAUACUUGUGGGUUAUUAAUCCACAUACCCCAAGGUGAUAAUAAUUGGGAUUCUUUCCGAUGAUUGUCGUAAUUUGAGGAGUUCAUCUAUUCACCAUGUGUUAAUUCUUUGUUCCGGUUCUAUAUUAAAAGGGGGCCUUAAUAUCUCUUAGUUUCGUUAUGGACCCUACUACCACGGGAGGGUAGGACAAAAGAUGCCAUGCAAGUUCUUAUCACAAACACAUAUGACUAUAUAAGGAAUAGAUGCCUACACUAUAUUGAUGAAUUGGAGCUAGUUGUGUGUCGCCCUAGUGUGUAAAUGUGUAAUUGUUACAUGAUUGAUGUCAUCUAAGUCAUUAUCCAUCACCGAUCCAUGUGCCUACACUUUUAAUAUACUGGUUCUUGCUAAGUUACUGUCACUACUGUUGUUCUACCUUGGUACUAAAACUUUUGCUAUAGAGAGAUAUCGUGAGUGUGGUUGAAUUGACAACUCAACUGCUAAGACCAAUAAAUAUUCUUUGGCUCCCCUUGUGUCGAAUCNNNNNNNNNNAAGCUAUAAUUCAGUAUACCAAAUUCGUUAGAUCUGCAUAACUAUAUCUAAAAUUAUAGCAUACAUCGCACCUUCAUAAUUGUGCUUAGAUGGAGCAUAUAUAUCAUGUAACAUGGACUAUACCUAGAAAGAUCACAAUCGAUUGAUCUUGGUAAAUAUAGCUAGCUAAAUCACAACUGAUAGAUCAUCAUAGUUGUAGUUAGAUAGAUCACAUAUGAAAAAAAAUUCAAAUGCACAUGUUAAUUAUUAGUUGAACUAGGAGCGACUAGUAUAUGCCAUGCAUGAUUUAGACAUAUUUUGGCUUCCCUCAAACAAAUGAUAGUCCAAUAUUGUCAACAAUACAUAAUCGGAACCCUAAUAUUUGUAUUUGUAAUUGUAAGUAUUUAUGAUUGGAACUAUUAGCAACCAUCCACAAACACUAACAAAAUCUUUAAGGUAAAAACAACCAUCACAUUAAGAUAUAUUGCCCCCCUUCAUCUCAUAUGCAUUAAUUUCCAUGGUGUAGUGAGGUAUUCACUCACUCUAUUCAUCGUAUGCAUAGUAGCAUCAACAUAAUACUAACCGUAAGGUGUGAUCCACACGCGCAUGAUAACCAACAAGUGUAGGGGAUCGCGAUUGUAUUCACGGGUAGUAUUUCACCCUAAUUUAUUAAUUCGACACAACGGGAGGCAAAGAAUAUUUAUUGGCCGUAACACUUGAGUUGACAAUUCAGUCGCACUUGGCAUAUUCUUUUGCAGCAAAUAUUUAGUAGCACAACAAGUGAUAGUUGUAACACUAACAUCGAUAGCAGCAAUUUUAGUAACAAUACUAAUAGUAUCAAUUCAGUAGCGGGUGUGACAGUAGUAGCAACAGUAGUAACUUAGAAAUAUUCAAUAUAUGUAACGCGUAGGCACAAGGAACAGCAGAGAAUAAUGAUUUAGAUGACAUUGAUCCUAUAAUAGUUACACACUAGGGUGACACAGAACUAGCUCCAAUUCAUCAAUAUAGUGUAGGCAUGUAUUCCGUAUAUAGUCAUACGUGCUUGCAAUAAGAACUUGCAUGACAUAUUUUGUCCUACCCUCCCGUGGCAGCGGGGUCCUAUUGGAAACUAAAGGAUAUUAAGGCCUUCUUUUAAUAGAAAUUGAGAACAAAGCAUCAACACAUAGUAAAUACAUAAAAUCCUCAAACUAUGGCAAUCACCGGAAAGAAUCCCAAUUAUUGUCACCUUGGGGUAUGCGGAUCAAGACACGUAAUACGUAACUAUAACUUGCAAGGUAGGAUCCAAAUCGCUCUUAUACUCAUGAAAACAUAAUAGAAUCAGAUCUGAAAUCAUGGCACUCGGGCCCUAGUGACAAGCAUUAAGAAUAGCAAAGUCAUAGUAACAUCAAUCUCAGAACAUAGUGGAUACUAGGGAUCAAGCCCUAUCAAACUUAACUCUAUUACAUGAUCAAUCUCAUCCAAUUCCAUCGCUGUCCAGCAAGCCUACGAAGUAAUUAACCACUCCCGGUGGUGAGCAUCAUGGUGGUGUUGAGGGAGAAGGGUUGGUCAUGACGACGGCGACUAAUCCCCCUCUCCGGAGCUUCAAACAGACUCCAGACCAGCCCUUCGGAGGAAGAAGAGGAGGUGGCGGCGGCUUUGUAUCGUAGAACGCGAUGAAAGCUUCUCUCCUAUUUUUGUCUUGGUGAUUAUGAAUUUAUAGGACUCGAUAGGGUCGGAGGAGCCUCGAGGGCCCCACAAGCUAUCAGGUCGCACCCUGGGGGGCUGAUGGCUUGUGCCCCGAGGCAAUUCCCCUCUCGCACGUCUUCACUUCACAAAUCCAAAACAAUCACAAAAAGUUUCGUCUGAUUCUAAGAACUUUGCUUCUGCACAAAAAUAACACCAAGGUAGUUCUGCUGAAAACAACGUUAGUCCGGGUUAGUUCCAUUCAAAUCAUGCAAAUUAGAGGCCAAAAUAAAAGCAAAAGUGUUUGGAAAAGUAGAUACGUUGGAGACGUAUCAAGUCCCCAAGCUUAACUCAUUGCUUGUCCUCAAUCAAUUCAGUUGAUAAAAUGAAAGUGAUAAAGAAAAUUGUUACAAACUCUUUUGUUCUUGUUAUUAUACGCAUGCUUAGCUAGUGUUCAAGUUUUGAGCAUAAAUCAUAAAUAAACACAUCCAUGAUAAUAAUUCAAGAAUCAUAUCCAAACAUGGCAAUACAUAACCAACUAGUAAGCAAUAAUAAGAUAUCUCAGAUGCCAACAAUUUGCCAGAACUAUCACGAUAUAACAUGGUGGCAUGGUAUCUCGCUAGCCCUUUUUGAGACCGCAAUAUAUAAAAGCAAAACACCUCUUAGAUUCAAGCAGUGACUAAAUAUUAUAAUUCAGAGUAGAAAAUAUCCUAGUCAUACUCAUAACCAAUAUUGACUAGACCCAAUUCAUAAAAAUGACAAUAGUGCUCUCUGGUCAGGUGCUUUUAGUAAGAUUGUGAUGACUCAACAUGAAAGCAAAUAGAUAGGCCCUUCGCAAAGGGAAGCAUUGAUUUACACAUGUGCAAGAGUUCAAUCUUUAAAGCACAAAUGAAAGCGUAAUUUUUGAAUGGUGUUCUUUACUGUCAAUGUUACGACAAAGAUUCUCAGUAUCUUCCAUGCUAAACUCAUUGUAGGUGGUUCCCAAAUGGAAUUAUAAAGCUUUACUCCUAUCCACCAUGCAUACACAACCAUGGCUAGACGAAUUCAUGGGUGCCCUCCAACAUAUCAUCUUGCCCAAGGAGUUUUGUUUUGAUUUAGUUUUGGUUAAGCAGGGAUGGGCACCCUUGUUACCAACCUCCCUCGUGUAAUGAUAGCAAAUAAAUGCCCGUCUUGAGAGUAACUUACUUAGCAUGGAAGAUACCGAUUGCCCCGUCGCACCAUGAGUGGUACGAGUGCACAAAAUAGAAUUUUAUUUGAAGGAUUUAGAGGUACCUGAUGCAAAUUUACUUGGAACGUCAGGGUAAUACCGCAUAUAGGUAGGUAUGAUGGACUCGUGUGGAAUAACUUAGUUUGAGGAUAUUUGAUGCGCAAGCAGCAUUCCCACUUAGUACGGGUGAUGGCUAUAAUUAGGUUGGGAAUCGACUAGCUAGAGAGCAACAAAGGUCAUGAACAUGCAUUGAUAAUAAUCAACAUUGGGCACUAGAAUGAGUAGGAUAUGAUCACUCUCAAUUUAAACAUUAUGAAGGCUACGUUGGUUUUUAAUCAACUACAUGUUUGCACAUGGGACAAGUCAGACCGCUCGAAUUACUCAGAGGGAAAUACCACACUGCCAUAUCACAUCAGAACCAUUUUAAUGCAUGUUGACACACAAGGUAAAUCAUUAUUAACUCCUAUCUAUUUAAGCAUGGCAUGAAAAGCAAUGAUCUCUAAUUGUCAUCACAAACAUGCUAACUCAUGAUAUUCUGAAUCAAGAUCAAAUGAGCCAACAUAUUUACAAAAUGAAAAAUAAGAAGAGUUCAUACCCAUUUACUUUGCCACAAUCACUUCAUCUAAUAUCGUCAUUAUUUCCUUUCACUUGCCCGACCGAAUGAUGUGAUAAUAAUGGAAGUGCAAGGGUGCCAUGGAAUAAGCUGGAAUUUGCACGACAGUUUUAAACAAAGGAGAAGACAUGGUAAUAUUGGAUCUUUGUUAGAUCGACGAUAAAGCAUAUGAUAGCCACUCAACAUAUUCAUCAUGGUCUUGUCCAUUUAUAACUUCCACAAAUGGGAAAGAAGUUCAGAGAAACAAGCUGAAAUAUUUUUGGAGUUUUUGUUUUUCUUAAGCAAGAAGGGGAAACUACGGGGAAACAAGAACGAGGCAAAUUAUUUACAGGGGAAAGCUCCCAACAAGCAAGAGGAAAUAUUUUUGGGUUUCCUUGCAAGACUACAACUAAUUGAACAGGAAAGAAAAACCAAAAAGAAGCGAGAAAUAUUUUUGGAGUUUCUAAAGUUUUUCAAACACACAAGAAGAAAGUGGGAAAGUAAAGCUAAUCAUGGGUAUAGAAUGAAAGAGGAUAAACACCGACAAUUUGUGUGAAGUGUGUGAACAUGAAUGUAAUGUCGGUGAGAAAUAUGUACUCCGCCAAGCUUAGGUUUUGCCUAGCUUGGUACUCACCACUGGUUGUAGCCGUCAGGUCUAGGAAAGUAUUUAUGUUGCGGCACCUAAGCAUCCCAGACUCGGGCCUCGGCCUCAACAGCAACUAACUCAUUAACACUAUGCAAUUAUGUCCUCUGGCAUGAUGGUGUAUCCGUUCCUUGCAUGGAAAUUAAACAACGACGAUGCAGGCAACACAAUAAUAUCAGAGUAACCUCACUAAAUACUAAAUUGUAAUGAAUACCUUGCGGUAUAUCAGUUUCAUGGGUGAAAUGAUGUUCUAUCAAAGAUUGGUGGUCAAGAUAAACCUGGGGAAUGACUAACUAGUGGGGCAUAUAGCUACUUCAAAACUCUUAGUGGGGCGUGCAGCGUAAGUACCAACAUGAAUCAAGCCUCUAGUUCGGUUAAGACGCAAGCGGCACGCAACUAUAGCUCCUAAGUUGUAAGUGUUAUCACAAUAAAGUGCGCAACGCGAAAUAGCAAGGGUCGGGGCACUGAGACCACCACCCUACUCCAUAGUAGUUAUGCAUUUUCCUACGAAUAGAGAGAAAUAAUGCACAUAGGAAAAAAAAUGCAAACUAGUGGUUUGAUAACCCACAAGUGUAGGGGAUCGCAAUAGUUUUCGAGGGUAGAGUAUUCAACCCAAAUUUAUUGAUUCGACAUAAGGGGAAGUGAAAGAAUAUUCUCAAGUAUUAGCAGCUGAGUUUGUCAAUUUCAACCACACCUGAAAGAUUAGUGUCUGCAAGCAAAGUAUCAGUAGCAAAGUAGUAUGAUAGCAACGGUGUCAGAAAAAGAUCUGUUGAUGGCAGACUAUUCCUAACUUGUUGUAUCAAUGGCACCAGUAAAUAGCACGUGGACUGGGAACUAUUCUUCCCCGACAACGGUGUCAGAAAAGUCUUGCAGUAGGUAACAGCAAAGUAGCAAGUAACAGCAGUAGUGACAACAGAAGCAAGGAACACCAGUAGUGAAAACAGCAGCAAGUAACAGCAGUAGCAACAGUAGUAGCGACAAGGUAACAUAGCAAGGACCAGUACUAAAAGACUCGUAGGCAUUGGAUCAGUGAUGGAUGAGUAUGACGGAUGUGAUUCAUCAUGUAAUAGCUAUAACACGGAGAGAUAUGUAACUAGCUCCCGUUCGUCAAUCUAAUGUAGGCAUGUAUUCCGUAUGUAGUCAUACGUGCUUAGGAAAAGAACUCGCAUGACAUCAAUUGUCCAUCCCUCCCAUGGCAGCGGGGUCCUAAUGGAAACUACGGGAUAUUAAGGUUCUCCUUUUAAUAAAGAAUUGUGCCAACGCAUUAACACUUGGUGAAUACAUGAACUCCUCAUAAUAUGGUCAUCUCCGGGAGUGGUUCCGACUAUUCUCACUCCGGGGUUGCUGGGUCAUAACACAUAGUAGGUGACUACAACUUGAAAGAUAGGAUCUAAAUCACACAUAUAUUGGCGACAACAUAAUAGGUUCAGAUCUGAAAUCAUGGCACUCAAGCCCUAGUGACAAGCAUUAAGCAUGGCAAAAUAGUAGCAACAUCAAUCUCAGAACAUAGUGGAUACUAGGGAUCAAUCCCCGUCAAAACUAACUUGAUUACAUGAUAGAUCUCAUCCAACUCAUCACCGUCCAGCAAGCCUACGAUGAGAUUACUCACGAACGGUGAAGAGCAUCAUGGAAUUGGCGAUGAAGGAUGGUUGGUGAUGAUGACAGUGUCGAUUUCCCCUCUCCGGAGCCCAGAACGGACUCCACAUCUGCCCUUCAGAGGAAGAACAGGUGGUGGCGGAGGCUCCGUGUCGUGAAACGCAAUGAACUCUUCUCUCUUAAUUUUUUCUGGGUGAGAGAGAAUAUAUAGAGCUGGAGUCGGAGGCUGCGGAGCCACGAGGGCCUCACAAGCGUGCCAGGCGCGGCCAGGGGGGCUUGCGCCUCCUGGGCUUGUGGGCUCCUAGCUCCGCGUCUCCACGUAAUUCUUGCGCCAGUAUUUUUUAUAUAUUCCACAAAAAAUCAUCGUAAAUUUCCAAGUCAUUCCAAGAACUUUCUUUUCGGCGCAAAAACAACACCAUGGCAAUUCUGCUGAAAACAGCGUCAGUCCGGGUUAUUUCCAUUCAAAUCAUGCAAAUUAGAGUCCAAAACAAGGGCAAAAGAGUUUGGAAAAGUAGAUACGAUGGAGACGUAUCAUGGAUCAUGACACAUAAUAGGUGCAUACAACUUGAAAGAUAGGAUCCAAAACACUCUCAUAUUCAUGAAAACAUAAUAGGUUCAUAUUUGAAAUCAUGGCACUAGGGCCCUAGAUACAAGCAUUAAGAAUAGCAAAGGCAUAGCAACAUCAAUCUCAGAACAUAGUGGAUACUAGGGAUCAAGCCCUAUUAAAAUAACUCGAUUGCAUGAUCAAUCUCAUCAAAUCCCAUCACCAUCCAGCAAGCCUACAUAGAAAUUACUCACCCUUCAUGGUGAGCAUCAUGGAAUUGUUGAUGAAGAAGGGUCGGGGAUGACGACGACAACGAAUCCCUCUCUUCGGAGCCCCAAAUAAACUCCAGAUUAGCCCUCUCGAGAAAGAACGCGAGGUGGCGGUGGCUCUGUCUUGUAAAACGUGAUGAAAACCUCUCUCUCCUAUUUUUUUCUCUGUAAUUUUGAAUUUAUAGGACUGGAAUUAGGGUCGAAGGAGCCACGAGGUGGCCCCAAGCCAUCAGGGCGCACCAAGGGGGGGGGGUGGGCACGCCCCGUUGGCUUGUAACCAAGAGGUGGCCGCCCUCUCGUGGGUCUUCGCUCCAUAAUCUUCACAUUUUCGAGAAAAAAUCCCCAAAAAGUUUCGUCCAAUUUCGAGAAGUUUUAUUUCUACACAGUUAUAACACCUUUGUAGUUUUGCUGAAAACAUCAUUAGUCCUUGGUUAGUUCCAUUCAAAUCUUAAAAAUUAGAGUCCAAAACAAGAGCAGAAGUGUUUGCCAAAGUAGAUACGUUUGAGACGUAUGAACUCCCCCACGCUUAACUCAUUGCUUGUCCUGAAGCAAUUCAAUUGAUAAAAUAAAAGGGAUAAAGAAAACUUUUACGAACUCUUUUGUUCUCGUUGCUAUAUAUAUGCUUAGCUAGUUUUCAUGUUUUCAACAUAAAUCAUAAAUAACCAUAUCCAUGAUUACAAUCCCUUGAAGAGGAAAGGGUGAUGCAGCACAGUAGCAGUAAGUAUUUCCCUCAGUUUGAGAACAAAGGUAUCAAUCCAGUAGGAGUAUCAAGGCAAGUCUCCAAAGUACCUGCGCAAAAACAAACAAACUUGCACCCAACGCUAUAAAUGGGUUGUCAAUCCCUUCACGAUUCAUUGCAAGGUGAGAUCUGAAGGCGGAAUGUGCAACAAAGUGAAAGUGUAGAGUUGAAAAUAUGAUGUGAAGUAGACCCGGGGGCCAUAGUAUUCACUAGAGGCUUCUCUCAUGAUAGCAAGUAUUACGGUGGGUGAACGAAUUACUAUCGAGCAAUUGAUAGAACCGCGCAAAGUCAUGAUGACAUCUAAGGCAAUGAUCAUACAUAUAGGCAUCACGUCCGAGACAAGUAGACCGAUACUGUCUGCAUCUACUACUAUUACUCCACACAUCGACCGAUAUCCAUCAUGCAUCUAGUGUAUUGUGUUCAUAACAAACAGAGUAACGCCUUAAGCAAGAUGACAUGAUGUAGAGGGAUAAAUUCAUGCNNNNNNNNNNUCCAUCUUUUUGCCCUUGAUGGCAACAACAUGAUGCAUGCCUCGCUACCCCUUCUGUCACUGGGUGAGGACACCACACGGUAUGAAUCCAAAACCAAGCACUUCUCCCAUUGCAAGAAUUAUAGAUCAAGUUGGCCAAACGAAACCCACAACUCGAAGAGAAUUACAAGGAUAAGAAAUCAUGCAUAUAAGAGAUUAGAGGAGACUCAAAUAAUAUUCAUAGAUAAUCUGAUCAUAAAUCCACAAUUCAUCGGAUCUCAACNNNNNNNNNNNNNNNNNNNNNNNNNNNNNNNNNNNNNNNNNNNNNNNNNNNNNNNNNNNNNNNNNNNNNNNNNNNNNNNNNNNNNNNNNNNNNNNNNNNNUGUUAUUGAUGUGUACUUAACCGGCUCUCGUAGUAGUGCCUGGGUAUUUGAUACCGGUUCUGUUGCUCACAUUUGCAACUCGAAGCAGGAACUGCGGAAUAGACGAAGGCUGGCGAAAGACGAAGUGACGAUGCGCGUAGGAAACGGUUCCAAGGUUGAUGCAAUCGCCGUCGGCACAGUGUCACUUCAGCUACCAUCGGGAUUAGUGAUGAACUUAAAUCAUUGUUAUUUAGUGCCUGCGUUGAGCAUGAACAUUAUAUCUGCAUCUUGUUUGUUGCAAGAAGGUUACUCUUUUAAGUCUGAGAAUAAUGGUUGUUCUAUUUCUAUGAGUAACAUCUUUUAUGGUCAUGCACCGAAUGUGAGAGGAUUAUUCAUAUUGAAUCUUGAUAGCGAUACGCAUAUACAUAACAUUGAGACCAAAAGAGUUAGAGUAAACAAUGAUAGCACCAUAUUUUUAUGGCACUGCCAUUUAGGCCAUAUUGGUGUAAAGCGCAUGAAGAAACUCCAUGCUGAUGGACUUUUGGAGUCACUUGACUUUGAUUCACUUGACACGUGCGAACCAUGCCUCAUGGGCAAGAUGACUAAGACUCCGUUCUUUGGAACAAUGGAGCGUGCCAGUGACUUGUUGGAAAUCAUACAUACCGAUGUGUGUGGCCCAAUGAGCGUGGAGGCACGCGGCGGAUAUCGUUAUUUCCUCACCUUCACUGACGAUUUAAGUAGAUAUGGUUAUGUCUACUUGAUGAAGCACAAGUCUGAAACAUUUGAAAAGUUCAAGCAAUUUCAGAGUGAAGUGGAAAAUCAUCGUAACAAGAAGAUCAAGUUCCUACGGUCUGAUCGUGGGGGUGAAUAUCUGAGUUUCGAGUUUGGUACUCACUUAAGACAAUGUGGAAUUGUUUCACAGUUAACACCGCCUGGAACACCACAGCGUAAUGGUGUGUCCGAACGUCGUAAUCGUACUCUAUUACAGAUGGUGCGAUCUAUGAUGUCUCUUACUGAUUUGCCGUUAUCAUUUUGGGGCUAUGCAUUAGAAACAACUGCAUUCACUUUAAAUAGGGCACCAUCAAAAUCCGUUGAGACGACACCAUACGAACUGUGGUAUGGCAAAAGGCCAAAGUUGUCGUUUCUUAAAGUUUGGGGAUGUGAUGCUUAUGUCAAAAAGCUUCAGCCUGAAAAGCUGGAACCCAAAGCGGAAAAGUGCGUCUUCAUAGGUUACCCAAAAGAGACAGUUGGGUACACCUUCUAUCUCAAAUCCGAAGGCGAAGUGUUUGUUGCUAAAAACGGAGCUUUUCUCGAGAAGGAGUUUCUCUCGAGAGAAUUGAGUGGGAGGAAGAUAGAACUUGACGAGGUUGUCGAACCUUUCAUCCCUCUCGAUGGUGGCGCAGGGCAAGGGGGAACCUCUGUCAUUGCGACGCCGGUUGAGGAGGAAGUUAAUGAUGAUGAUCAUGAAACUCCAGUUCAAGUUUCUGUCGAACCACGCAGGUCGACGAGACCACGUGCUGCUCCAGAGUGGUACGGUAAACCCGUCUUAUCAAUCAUGUUGUUAGACAACAAUGAACCUGCGAAUUAUGAAGAAGCAAUGGUGGACCCAGAUUCCAACAAAUGGCUGGAAGCCAUGAAGUCCGAGAUAGGAUCCAUGUAUGAGAACAAAGUGUGGACUUUGGAGGNNNNNNNNNNNNNNNNNNNNNNNNNNNNNNNNNNNNNNNNNNNNNNNNNNNNNNNNNNNNNNNNNNNNNNNNNNNNNNNNNNNNNNNNNNNNNNNNNNNNAUACCGUGCGGUGACCUCACCCAGUGACAGAAGGGGUAGAGAGGCACGCAUCGUGUUGUUGCCAUCAAGCGUAAAAAUAUGGGGUUUUCAUCAUUGGUUUGAGAUUAUCCCUCUAUAUCAUGUCAUCUUGCUUAAGGAGUUACUCCGUUCGUCAUGAAAUCAAUACACUAGAUGCAUGCUGGAUAGCGGUCGAUGUGUGGAGUAAUAGUAGUAGAUGCAGAAAGUAUCGGUCUACUUGUCUCGAACGUGAUGCCUAUAUGUAUGAUCAUUGCCUUAGAUAUCGUCAUGACUUNNNNNNNNNNUUGUUCGUCAUGAACUCAAUACACUAGAUGCAUGCUGGACAGCAGUCGAUGUGUGGAGUAAUAGUAGUAGAUGCAGAAAGUAUCGGUCUAGUUGUCUCGGACGUGAUGCCUAUAUGUAUGAUCAUUGCCUUAGAUAUCGUCAUGACUUUGCGCGGUUCUAUCAAUUGUUCGACAGUAAUUUGUUCACCCACUGUAAUAUUUUCUAUUUUGAGAGAAGCCUCUAGUUAACACUAUGGCCCCCGGGUCUACUCCACACCAUAUUUUCAGCCUUACACUUUUUCUUCGUUGCACUUUCCGCCUUCAGAUCUCACUUUGCAAUCAAUCUUGAAGGGGUUGACAACCCCUUUAUAGCGUUGGGUGCAAGCUCUUUGUGUUUGUACAGGUACUCUAGACUUGACGAGAUUCUCCUACUGGAUUGAUACCUUGGUUCUCAAACUGAGGGAAAUACUUAGUGCUCCUGUGCUGCAUCACCCUUUCCUCUUCAAUGGAAAAACCGACGCAAGCAAAUCUCCGUCAAUGUGUAAAUUUUUGGCGCUGUUGUUUGAGAAGUAGCACUAUGUCUUCGCUAUGCUUAAUGCUUGNNNNNNNNNNGGCCCGAAUGCCAUGAUUUCAGAUCUGAACCCAUUAUGUUUUCAUGAAUAUGAGAGUGUUUUUAUCAUAUCUUGCAAAUUGUAUGCACCUAUUAUGUGUCAUGGUCCACAUACCCCAAGGUGACAAUAAUUGGGAGUCUUUCGAGUGAUUGUCGUAGUUUGAGGAGUUUAUGUAUUCACCAUGUGUUAAUGCUUUGUUGCGGUUCUUUAUUAAAAGGAGGCCUCAAUAUCCCUUAGUUUCCUUAUGGACCCCGCUUCCAUGGGAGGGUAGGACAAAAGAUGUCAUGCAAGUACUUAUCGCAAGCACGUAUGCCUAUAUACGGAAAACAUGCCUACAUUAUAUUGGUGAAUUGGAUAAGUUCUCUAACACUCUAGUGUGUAAUUGUUACAUGAUUGAUGCCAUCUAAAUCAUUAUCCAUCACCAAUCCAUGUGCCUACGCUUUUCAUAUAGUGAAUCUUGCUAAGUUACUGGCACUACUACUAUUAUGUCUUGCUACUAAAACUUUUGCUACGGAGAGAUAUCCUGAGUGUGGUUGAUUUGACAAGCCAACUGCUAAGACCAAUAAAUAUUCUUUGGCUCCCCUUGUGUCGAAUCAACAGUUUUAGUAAUACUUCCCUCGAAGACUGUUACAACUCCCUAUACUUGUGGGUUAUCAAGACUAUUUUCUAGCACCGUUGUUAGGGAGCAUAGAUCUAUUUGUUGUGUUCACUCAAGGUUAUCAAUUGUCGCUAUGCAAAACGUGAAAUAUACUAGAACCAAGAUCAUACCCUCUAAGACGAGGGGAGGUAAGGAACUAUCAUCUAGCUCCACUUUUGAUUCACAUACUGUUUUAAAUUAGCUUAUGACACCACCACUUGCUAAUCCUUCUGAUAUGUCGCAAUUACUUAAUGAUGCUACUUCUUAAAUUCAUGAAACCUAUGAUNNNNNNNNNNNNNNNNNNNNNNNNNNNNNNNNNNNNNNNNNNNNNNNNNNNNNNNNNNNNNNNNNNNNNNNNNNNNNNNNNNNNNNNNNNNNNNNNNNNNGGACGAGCCAGGAGCCCUCGCCAGGAGCACGCCCCCUCGCCCCUGCUCGACCAGGAGCCCCUGGAGCCUUAGCGCCACUCCCCCUCCGUCGCCCGCACCCUCCUCCGUCGCCCCACCCUCGCCGGCGACCUCGCCCCUCGCCGGAGUGCCCCCUCCUCGCUGUUGCUCCUCCCUGCCAUCGUGCCUCCUCUGUAGCACGAGGUAACUCCCUCUCCCUUCUAUUUUUUUUGUUUUACUUUCUACCGUUAGAUCUAUAAUCAACGCGUUAGAUUAGAUCAUAAUACCUCUUCGGUUUUUAACCAAAAACCUAAACGAUUUUUCUUUACUAUAGUUUAGGCGGAGGACUUUCGUUAUAUAGCGGCCAUUUGCUAGUUAGCGGUAGCAGNNNNNNNNNNNNNNNNNNNNNNNNNNNNNNNNNNNNNNNNNNNNNNNNNNNNNNNNNNNNNNNNNNNNNNNNNNNNNNNNNNNNNNNNNNNNNNNNNNNNNNNNNNNNNNNNNNNNNNNNNNNNNNNNNNNNNNNNNNNNNNNNNNNNNNNNNNNNNNNNNNNNNNNNNNNNNNGACUUUUGUUCUACAAGACCAAUGAAGUUGAAUCUUUUUCCAGUAGAUCACAUUUUUCCUGUAGUUUACAAAAACAUCUUAUUUGCCUAUGUUUGAAAUUUUCAAAUUUGAAUUAGAUCAGAUUUAGUUUAAACCUUGUUUUGCUUAUUCUGGGAGUUUAAAAAUAGCUUUUAAUUUGAUUCUUUUUGCUACUGCUUCCCAGUGAUAAUAUCUUUCAGUAGUAUAAAUUUCAAUUUUUUUAAAUAGUUUUACUUGGGGUUUUAUCAAAAACAGAUUCUGUUGUGAUUAGGUGAAGUGAAUUCCUUCACUUUAUGCAAUAGUAGUGUUAUGCUAGUGAUGUUAUUUUUCUUGUUAAUGAUUGUAGUGUUUAUGUCAUAUACUUGUUUGUAUCGAUAGAUCAUCCGGAGUGUGAAUCUUGCUACUUAGAAGCGCUCGAUCACGACAACUAUCAGCAAGGCAAGUCAUUUGAUCAUGUAUCACCUAUGUUUUCAUGCAUCGUAGUUCUACCUUCCUAUACCCAUUUGCAUGUUGACUAGGUACUUGGAAAAAUAUGGUUACUUGAUGUAGUAUCAUGUGGUAGGCACCCCAACAACCCUGUUACUUGGCCCGGGACGAUGAAUUCUAUUAUGCUAUGCUUGUGUAGACGGGGUUCUGGUUGAGAGUUUAUCACGAGUGAUGCGAGAAUAAUUUAAUAACCAAGACCGGUUAAGUCAAGACUUUUCAAGACCUCGUGAUGCAAUGUGACUCUGGGUGAAGGACGGUUUAGAUGGGCUCCCUAGAGAAACUAGUGGAAGACCCGGGAUGCAUGGAGACAUGCCAUGACAUCUUGCGGAAAGCUUCAACCAGGCUCGAAGAGAUGGACGGAGGCUUCAAGACCCAAGGCUUACCUGCACAGCCACAAGUCAUUUUGGGCUCUGGCUUGGUUGGACAAUGCGGCGACUCUGGACAGGCGCUGCUAGCAGAUGUAGAAGAACGGUAGGAUUGGAUGGGCACCGACAGGGGAUCGGAGGGACCCGUUGAAAGACCAUGUUUUGAUCAUCCAGUCUUCAAACGCCCUGAAGUGCGAGGACUUACCCGGAGGCGAUCAAAUCUUGUGGGGAACGUGUGCAAAACUCUGCAGAGUACCCAAACCUAAUCGAUUAGCCGUGUCCACGGUCAUGGACAACUUGAGCCGAAGGCAUUGAGAUUUUCCUGAACUCUUAACACAAUUUAAUAAUGAUGUGGGAAUUAUUGACAACUCGGGUACGAGAAUUGGUUGGCGGAACCAUCUCGUUAACAACAAACAACGUAGUAAUUUUUUGCUUUUAACCCUCUCUUGAUGUAGGAGAAAACUUGCUUUUCGCUNNNNNNNNNNUUUAUAGCCCCACCUGCCAUAUAUGCAUGUAGAAUAGAUGAUUAUUAUUUCACCCCCUCUCUUUGAUGACUUGCCGACAUAUUCAAUAUGCUGACCUACACGGCUGCAACAUCUUAUGUUGCAGAUACUUUCUUCGACGAGUAAGUGUACAAUUCAGGGUUACGGUCCGCACUCAACCUGCCGUUGGUGUUAUUUGGGACUCCACUCCCUUGACUGCUUCCGCAAAGAUUUUAAGGUAUAUAUCAGUUUUACGCUAUUUACAUGUGGUUGCACUUUGAUAUAUACAUUGAUGUACUGUGUGUGCCAGCAUACUGAUCCAGGGAUGGCACAGAUACACAGAGGCUUGACUCGUUUUGAGUCGGGUCGCUACAGAAAUGGUAUCAGAGCACAUGUUGACUGUAGGACGUGACCCUAGAAACUGGAAACUUCUUAGGAUAGGAUCUCUCAAAAAUCUUAUUUUCAAGAACACCUUUCACUUCUCAUCUCUUCUGAUUUCAUCAAAUGUUCUCUCUCACCUCAAAUAGUUAUACAAUCCCCUUACCCCUUUGAACUCAUGAAGAAUCAACGGAGUUCUACUUCAAAGUAAAGAGGAUUUCACCACGCAUUUGAAGAAUUGAAGCUACACCAACAGAAGACUCUCAAGACCCGAAGAACUCGAAGACCCUGAAGUGUUCGAAUAAUUAUAUAACCAUUAGAAGUCCAAACCCCUUUUAUAUACCCACGUUAGAUACGAUGAUUUGUGAGCCGUCAUUGGUGUGUGUUUUUCGACGGCCACAAAUAAAACCUAUUCUCAAAAAUAUUGUUUGUAUUGUGUGUAUCUCCCUCCCUCUCUUACCCGUCUCAUCCCCCAAACCUCAACCCUACCAGAUGGAGUAUGAAGCUGGACUUGUAGUCUCUGGACCAAUGACCCAGUUGGAGGCUGAAAUAUGGAUUCAGAACAUGGGGAACCACUUCGGGAGCAACUUGAUCCCAAGGAAAUAUGAAGUGGCACACGCUCUCUAGUACUUUACCCAAAGUGCUGCUAUCUGGUGGAAAAUGCACCAUGCCAUACAAGGAUUUAGUGGAGCAGAAGCUUGGGACGAAUUCAAGAACACCCUAUUAAGAUCCCGACUUAUUCAGAAGUGCUAUGAAAGCCCGAUGAAGAAGCCUAGUGCAUGCAAAAUCUGUGGAGAAAUAGGACACACCCAGGAAGAACACAAGGAUGGAUGCACCCAUUGUGAAGAAAAUCACCCAGAAGAGGAAUGCCCAACUAGUCAGGUGACUUGCUUCUUGUGUGAAGGAACCACCCACUACCCAGCUCAGUGUCACAUUUACCCCAGGGUGCAACAAGUUGUCAAGCAGCAGAAAGAUGCAAUGAAGGAAACCCUCAAGAAGAAGAUUCUAGAAGAACCUGUGAUGUAUGAAAAUAUAGAAGACCCUAUGAACAAGGUCUGGCCAGAUUUUUCUCCAAUGCAUGCUACUCAUGUGGAGAAGAAGCACAUUAUUCACAGGAUUGCACGAAGGGAAGCCAAGAGUAUCUGGGAAACUUCCCGACGGAAAAAGUGGAGUUUGAUCCACUUGAAAUAGAAGAACUGACCAAAAUAAAGGAGUCCGGAAAGAAGGAAAAGUACCCUCGGAAGAGCCAAAUCUCUGCAGAUAAAGACCUGAGUCAUGUCAGAUGUUACAAGUGUAUGGAAUUUGGCCACCACAAAUACAUGUGCUCAGGAAGGAAGCCGGAAACCCAAGGAGCAAAAGCAAACACUAAGACGCCUCGAGACUAGUCAGAACUCAUUUGCUUUCGAAGCAGGACAUUUUGCUAAUGAUUGUCCAUGUAGGAAGAAAGCUAAAAUGGAGUAGUUAAGUUUUGACCGCAGCAAUUAGUGUAAUCUGAAGCACUCUUAUUUUUCAUGAGACCAUGGAGUUGAAUUUUUUUGUAACAGAAGUCCCUGAGAUUGUAAUAACUUCAUGAAUCAAUGGAAUUUAUAGUCUCAUGAUUGCCUAUGUUGAAACUGUAUGCGUUGUUUCUCUACGAAUAAAGAUCUCUGAACAUUUAUGAGGAUAAGAGAAAAUAUAGUCUAUGCAGGCAUGAGUAUAAUUCAUUUUUAGUGUGGUAGUAAUCGGUAAACCCACAGGAUCCACUGAGUAGGAAUGUACCAUGAUUACCAAGGAGACACAUAAAUUCCUCUGAGUACCUAUUUACUGACACCUGCAGAUGACAACUCUCUACGAGUCAUUCCUCAAGGGCCCAGAAACGAUCAUGAGCCUGACCAGUGAUCAUGAUUACCCAAAAAUCCUUAAGGGCAUGAUGAAGCACAUUCAUCUUGAAGGAGAUGCAGUCUACAAAGGCUACCCGUUCAUGGGAAAUGGAGUGGAACUUUGGUAUGUGGAAGUACACCUCCACCAUGUGAAAGGAGUUUGUCCAAAGACAAUGGGGCAAUACUUUUUCAUUUCACGUGUACCACGAGCAAUUUUCUUUGAUGCUGUUCGUGAAGCUGCCAUGGAAGCACGUCAGAUUGGAGAAAUACUUGAAGCAAGACUCCGUCAUACCCAGGAAUACAUGAGUGAAGUGCAUGCGGAGAUGAUGGAAAUGAAGCUCAUGGCCACCAUGAGGAAGGAAAAGAUGGAUGAUUUCAAGGAGCACCUUGGAAAGUUCCUGUGGAACUAAAGUAUCUCCAAGAGAGACAAAUGAAUAAAGUUUACAGAAAUGCUUGACCAUACCGAAUAAUGUGGAUGGCAGCAUUUGUAAUAAAUUACUUUUGAAAUUGGAAUUUUGAGAAUAAAUUAAGGAUGUAAUAAAGGAUUGAGUAUGAAAUAAAUAUGAAUUAUCAUUGAGAAAUACCUUCUUAUGGUAUCCCACAGAGUGGAGUAUGACCCAAAAAUAAGUCUGAGGAUUAUUAUUAUAUGAUGGUUACCCCAAGAAUAUGAUGGAAUGAAACACUAUGGAAAUUUAAAGGCGGAGUAACUCCAAGUAUGCCUGAAACCCACAGACCCGGGACUAAUAAGGAUCAAGUACUAUCUUUUGGAGAAGGAAACUUGUAUCAACAAACGUUUUCUUAGGAGCAUACGGAAACCGGAGGGUUGUGAAGAUACGUUAGAUGUUUUGUUCAGCUUCCAGAACCGAUGGAUUACACGAACUUCAUUCGUGGACAAGAGAAAUUCUGCAACGCUUGUGAGGAUGCCCAAGUGUUAGAAUGCGAGAUUCUCUAAACCUUAUACAGAGAAAUGAUUUGGGUGCGGAAUGGAUUGAUCACCAUGACGACUUACUCUUAUCAUUUAUCUUGCUAUUCAGAAUGGUAAAUCUGAGAGACUUACCCGUAGAGAGAGACGACGUUCUUUGAAGCUUUUGUUUAAGCCUUAGAAUGUAUAAGAAAAGCCCAUGUACAUGGCACUUGUUGUCACGCGUAAGAAAUUUUACGGUGAGGAUGAAACCAAGACCCCUCUCUCUGCAGGAUAACCACAAAUGGUAGACCACCAUGAGAAUCAUCGAUAGGUUAUUUAGAAUUGACCGCGAGACUGUCAGUUAAGAAAACCUAGUAACGGAAGAAGCUAAUAUCAACAGAAUAACCCUCGUUUUGAUGGAGACGUUAUGAAUAUAGCGGAAGAUUUGAAGACUGUGAGGAGUCAGAUGCCAAAAACCCCAGGGGAUUGUUAAAGUUUUAAGGGACCAACAAUCUUCAUUUUAAGUGUGGUAGCAUCCCACUUUACCGAAGGUUGGAUUCGUUAGAAGACCCCCAAACCCUAACCUUUCUUUCUAGCCUCUUCGAAUCUCGAGGAUGAGAUUCAUUUUAAGUGUGGUAGGUUNNNNNNNNNNNNNNNNNNNNNNNNNNNNNNNNNNNNNNNNNNNNNNNNNNNNNNNNNNNNNNNNNNNNNNNNNNNNNNNNNNNNNNNNNNNNNNNNNNNNCAAAACUUGAAAACUUCACAAUACAAAACUUAAACAGAAACUCGUGAUAACAUUAGCACAAGAAAACAAACCACCGCAUCUUUUGGUACUGUAGCAAACUUGAAUUCUAUCUAUAUUGGUGUUGGGCUACUAUAUUCUCACUUUUCCAUGGCUAGUACCCCCCGAUACUAACCAUAGUUUCAUCAAAACAAGCAACCAACUCAACAAAAACAGAAUNNNNNNNNNNNNNNNNNNNNNNNNNNNNNNNNNNNNNNNNNNNNNNNNNNNNNNNNNNNNNNNNNNNNNNNNNNNNNNNNNNNNNNNNNNNNNNNNNNNNNNCCAGUCUGUAGCAAUAUGUAUACUUCGUAUACUUUUGGUACCUCAAAAACUCUGACAUAUUACGAAGGCCUAGGAAAAAGGCAUAUCAAACAGCAGCAAAAAGAAUCAACUCAAAAGCUCUUUCUGAAUAAAAAUGAAAAAUCAUCUCGUGAGAAAAAAGUUUUGUCUUUUCCAGCAGGAUCAAAAAACCAUCACCAAGACUAGUCAUAAACGUUUUGCUUGGCUCAAACACAAAAAGAAACACAAAAGACACAAUCAUAACAGAAUUAUGAUAGUGUGAACGCAACAAAACAGAAAGAAAAAGAUAAAUUCAUUGGGUUGCCUCCCAACAAGCGCUAUUGUUUAACGNNNNNNNNNNNNNNNNNNNNNNNNNNNNNNNNNNNNNNNNNNNNNNNNNNNNNNNNNNNNNNNNNNNNNNNNNNNNNNNNNNNNNNNNNNNNNNNNNNNNUUGCAGGGUAUGCUUGUGAUGUGAUAUGGCCAACGAUGUGAUGUGAUAUAUUGGAUGUAUGAGAUGAUCAUGUUGUAAUAGAAAAUAGCGACUUGCACGUCGAUGGUACGGCAACCGGCAGGAGCCAUAGGGUUGUCUUUAUACUANNNNNNNNNNNNNNNNNNNNNNNNNNNNNNNNNNNNNNNNNNNNNNNNNNNNNNNNNNNNNNNNNNNNNNNNNNNNNNNNNNNNNNNNNNNNNNNNNNNNNNNNNNNNNNNNNNNNNNNNNNNNNNNNNNNNNNNNNUUAGUAGUAAUAGCAUGAGUAGCACGACAACCCCGAUGGCAACACGUUGAUGGAGAUCAUGGUGUGGUGGUGACAAGAAGAUCGUGCCGGUGCUUUGGUGAUGGAGAUCAAGAAGCACGUGAUGAUGGCCAUAUCAUGUCACUUAUCAAUUGCAUGUGAUGUUAAUCCUUUUAUGCACCUUAUUUUGCUUAGAAUGACGGUAGCAUUAUGAGGUGAUCUCUCACUAAAAUUUCAAGACGAAAUUGUGUUCUCCCCGACUGUGCACCGUUGCUACAGUUCGUCGUUUCGAGACACCACGUGAUGAUCGGGUGUGAUAGACUCAACGUUCACAUACAACGGGUGCAAAACAGUUGCGCACGCGGAACACUCGGGUUAAGCUUGACGAGCCUAGCAUGUGCCAGACAUGUGCGGACAUGUGCUUACCACUGAAACUACUCUCGACUCACGUGAUGAUCGGACUUGGGAUAGUGUAAGUGGAUCAUGAACCACUGAAAUGACUGGAGAGAUGUACUUUUUGAGUGGGAGUUUAGCAUAUAAUUUGAUUAAGUUGAACUCUAAUUAUCUUGAACAUAGUCUAAGUCCACUUUGAAUAUAUUUGNNNNNNNNNNNNNNNNNNNNNNNNNNNNNNNNNNNNNNNNNNNNNNNNNNNNNNNNNNNNNNNNNNNNNNNNNNNNNNNNNNNNNNNNNNNNNNNNNNNNGAGUCCCCCUUCCUUCUCACCUCCUCCUUUUUUUUCUUUUCUCUUGAUUUUCUCUUCUUGGCGCAUAGAGCCCUUUUGUGCUGUCCCACCAGCCCACUAAGGGCUGGUGUGCCACCCACAAGGCCUAUGGUCUUCCCCGGGGUGGGUUCCCCCCCNNNNNNNNNNNNNNNNNNNNNNNNNNNNNNNNNNNNNNNNNNNNNNNNNNNNNNNNNNNNNNNNNNNNNNNNNNNNNNNNNNNNNNNNNNNNNNNNNNNNNNNNNNNNNNNNNNNNNNNNNNNNNNNNCAUUCUUGGUAACUCCGAAAACCUUCCCGUAAUAAAAUAAGGUCAUCCUAUAUAUCAAUCUUCGUUUCCGGACCAUUCCAGAAACCCUCGUGACGUCCGUGAUCUCAUCCGGGACUCCGAACAACAUUCGGUAACCAACCAUAUAACUCAAAUACGUAUAAAACAACGUCGAACCUUAAGUGUGCAGACCCUGCGGGUUCGAGAANNNNNNNNNNNNNNNNNNNNNNNNNNNNNNNNNNNNNNNNNNNNNNNNNNNNNNNNNNNNNNNNNNNNNNNNNNNNNNNNNNNNNNNNNNNNNNNNNNNNNNNNNNNNNNNNNNNNNNNNNNNNNNNNNUAUCGUUUGAACCUCAGUGCCAAGGAUUCAUUAAUCUCGUAUGUCAUUCCCUUUGUCCUUCGGUAUGUUACUUGCCCGAGAUUCGAUCGUCAGUAUCCGUAUACCUAUUUCAAUNNNNNNNNNNNNNNNNNNNNNNNNNNNNNNNNNNNNNNNNNNNNNNNNNNNNNNNNNNNNNNNNNNNNNNNNNNNNNNNNNNNNNNNNNNUUUACUCGUUCCGUAAUACAAGAUCCCGCAACUUACACUAAGUUACAUUGCUUGCAAGGCUUGUGUGUGAUGUUGUAUUACCGAGUGGGCCCCGAGAUACCUCUCCGUCACACGGAGUGACAAAUUCCAGUCUUGAUCCAUGCUAACUCAACGGACACCUUCGAAGAUGCGUUUAGAAUACCUUUAUAGUCACCCAGUAACGUUGCGACGUUUGAUAUACACAAGGCAUUCCUCUGGUGUCAGUGAGUUACAUGAUCUCAUGGUCAUAGGAAUGAAUACUCGAAAUGCAGAAAACAAUAGCAACAAAAUGACACGAACAUAUGCUACGUUCGGAGUUUGGGUCUUGUCCAUCACAUCAUUCUCCUAAUGAUGUGAUCCCGUCAUCAAGUGACAACACUUAUCUAUGGCCAGGAAACCUUAACCAUCCUUGAUCAACAGGCUAGUCAACUAGAGACNNNNNNNNNNNNNNNNNNNNNNNNNNNNNNNNNNNNNNNNNNNNNNNNNNNNNNNNNNNNNNNNNNNNNNNNNNNNNNNNNNNNNNNNNNNNNNNNNNNNGGAUCUUGUAUUACGGAAUGAGUAAAGAGACUUGCUGGUAAACGAGAUUGAAAUAGGUAUACGGAUACUGACGAUCGAAUCUCGGGCAAGUAACAUACCGAAGGACAAAGGGAAUGACAUACGGGAUUAUACGAAUCCUUGGCACUGAGGUUCAAACGAUAAGAUCUUCGUAGAAUAUGUAGGAUCCAAUAUGGGCAUCCAGGUCCCGCUAUUGGAUAUUGACCGAGGAGUCUCUCGGGUCAUGUCUACAUAGUUCUCGAAUCCGCAGGGUCUGCACACUUAAGGUUCGACGUUGUUUUAUGCGUAUUUGAGUUAUAUGGUUGGUUACCGAAUGUUGUUCGGAGUCCCGGAUGAGAUCACGGACGUCACGAGGGUUUCCGGAAUGGUCCGGAAACGAAGAUUGAUAUAUAGGAUGACCUCAUUUGAUUACCGGAAGGUUUUCGGAGUUACCGGGAAUGUACCGGGAAUGACGAAUGGGUUCCGGGAGUUCACCGGGGGGGGGGCAACCCACCCCGGGGAAGCCCAUAGGCUUUGGGGAGACACACCAGCCCUUAGUGGGCUGGUGGGACAUCCCCAAGGGGGCCUAUGCGCCAAGAAAAGAAAUCAAAGCAAAUAGAAAAAAAAAGAGGGAGGAAGUGGGAAGGGAGGGGGACUCCUCCCACCAAACCAAGUCCAACUCGGUUUGGGGGGGGAGUCCUCCCCCCCUUGGCUCGGCCGACCCCUUGAGGGUCCCUUGGACCCCAAGGCAAGGUCCCCCUCCCUCCUCCUAUAUAUAUGGAGCUUUUAGGGCAGAUUUGAGACAACUUUCUCACGGCUGCCCGACCACAUACCUCCAUAGUUUUUCCUCUAGAUCGCGUUUCUGCAGAGCUCGGGCGGAGCCCUGCUGAGACAAGAUCAUCACCAACCUCCGGAGCGCCGUCACGCUGCCGAAGAACUCUUCUACCUCUCCGUCUCUCUUGCUGGAUCAAGAAGGCCGAGAUCAUCCUCGAGCUGUACGUGUGCUGAACGCGGAGGUGUCGUCCGUUCGGUACUAGAUCGUGGGACUGAUCGCGGGAUUGUUCGCGGGGCGGAUCGAGGGACGUGAGGACGUUCCACUACAUCAACCGUGUUCUCUAAACGCUUCUGCUGUACGAUCUACAAGGGUACUUAGAUCACUCAUCCCCUCUCGUAGAUGGACAUCACCAUGAUAGGUCUUCGUGCGCGUAGGAAAUUUUUUGUUUCCCUUGCGACGUUCCCCAACACCUAGGAGGUGGCUUGCCACCCAAGUUAGGGUGGCGCCACCCCUAGGGUUUGUCCUCACCAGCCCUUGGCCGCAUGGGCCUAGAUCGGAGGGGCGCUCAGCCCACCAGGGGCUGGUGCACACCCCUCUCAGCCCAUGUUGCCCCCUGAGGCAGAUGGGCCCCUUCCGGCACCCCCGAUACACUACGUGUGAUGCCCAAAUUCUAUUGGGUGACCAAAAUGGAGCUUCCCAUAUAUCAUUCUUUGCAUCGAGACCAUUCUGACGCUCCUCGUCAUGUCCAUGAUCUCAUCCGAGACUCUGAACAACCUUCGGUUACAAACAUACAUAACUCAACAAUAUUAUCUCGCCAUCGAACGUUAAGAGUGUGGACCUUGCCGGUUCGAGAAUGAUGUAGACAUGACCAAGACAUCUCUCCGGUCAAUAAACAAUAGCAGGGCUUGGAUGCCCAUAUUGGUUCCUACAUAUCCUAUGAAGAUCUUUAUCGAUCGAACCAUGAUGCCAAGGAUUCACUCAAUCCCGUAUGCAGUUCCCUUUGUCAAUCGCUAUGUUACUUGCGUGAGAUUCGAUCGUCGGUAUCUUCAUACCUAGUUCAAUCUCGUUAUCGGCAAGUCUAUUUUACUCGUUACGUAAUACAAGAUCUCGUGACUAACUCCAUAGUCACAUUUCUUGCAAGCUUGUUGUGAUGAUGUAUUACCGAGUGGGCCCACAGAUACCUCUCCGUCAUACGGAGUGACAAAUCCCAGUAUCGAUCCAUGCCAACCUAACAGACACCCUCGAAGAUAACUGUAGAGCAUCUUUAUAAUUACCCGGUUACAUUGUGAAAUUUGAUACAUAUAAGGCAUUCCUCCGGUGUGAGGGGGUUGCAUGAUCUCAUGGUCUUAGGAACAGAUACUUUGACAUGCAGAAUGCAAUAGCAAUAAACUUAGUGAUACGAUCAAAUGCUAUAUUUAUGGUUUGGGUCUUGUCCAUCACAUCAUUCUCCUACUGACGUGAUCCUGUUAUCAAAUGACAACUCAUGUCUAUGGUUAGGAAACCUUAACCAUCUUUGAUCAACGAUCUAGUCUAGUAGAAGGUCACUAGGGACACGGUGUUGUCUAUGUAUCCACACAUGUAUGUGAGUUUCCAAUCAAUACAAUUAUAGCAUGGAUAAUAAACGAUUAUCAUGAACAAGGAAGUAUGAUAAUAACCAAAUUAUUAUUGCCUCUAGGGCAUAUUUCCAACACAUAUGAUAUGCACUAUCACCAUAAUCCUUAUUCUAUCCUUCCUCAAAUCAGCCACUAUACCUAACUAUUAUGGCGUUUCCAUAGUCAUUCCACGAUAUAUUUCCGUGCAACUUCCAUUGAUACUAUUCAUUACAUGACUUGAGCAUUCAUGGUCAUUUUACUUUGCAUGAUCAUAUAGAGCUGACAUGAUAUUUUUCGGCAAGCCAUCGUUCAUCUUGUUAUACAUGUUACGCUACAUAAUCGCAAAUCAUGGUACAUUGCUAGAGGUAUUCAUAUGUAGUCCUCAUAUUCUUCAUAUAUUGAGUUGUAAGUAAAAUGAAGUGUGAUGCAUUAUUAGCGUGUGCCCCUACAUGUAAGGUUAAAAGAAAGAGGCCAAAAAUAGCGCAACGAAAGAAAAUAAAUGGGGGGGGGGGGGGGAAACAAAAAGUAGAAAGAGAAAAAAGAUAAGAAGAAAAGAGAGGGGGCGCACUACUAUCUUUUUUACCACACUUGUGCUUCAAAGUAGCACCACGCUCUUCAUACACUUAGUUUUCAUAUACUUCAUGAUUAUGCUAGUGGUACUUUUACAUUCUAUAACUUGGCUUGUAUAUUCUGAUAACGAGGUUUCUCAAAUGCUCGAGGUCUUCAUGAGCAAGCAAGUUGGAUGCACACCCACUUAGUUGCAUUAGGACCGGUUUCAUACACUUAUAAAUCUAGUGCACCAGUUGCAUGGCAAUCCCUAGUCCUUGCAUUGACACUGAUCGUAAGGCCUCUCUAUUGCUAACUAUUAGCCGCGUUUAUGUGAGACUUCCUAUAAAAAAUCAUCUUAUAAACCCCAAUCAUCAUUUUCUUCGCCAUUUAAAGUGCUAAGUCCAUGGCUCACGCUCAUGUAUUGAGUGAAGUUGAAAAUCUAAAGCGAGAAAAGUAUGAUACAAUUGCUUGAUUUAGCAUUGGGGUGUUCAUGAUUUGUAUUUUAUGCUACGAACAUCGAGUUAUGUCAUUCUUACAUGAUUAAAUGUUUUGGAAUAACAUUUUUUAUUUUGAAAUACAAUGAUUACUUUCUAGCAUUCUUUCAUAUUACCGUUUUGAUAUUUAACAAUUCAAUCACUUUCCCAUAUUCAUACCACAAAUAUUUACAUGAAUAUAACAUGUUAGGUAGCAUUUCACAUCAAAAAACAAGUUUUAUCAUUUGCCUACUCGAGAACGAGUAGGAAUUAAGUUUGGGGAUGCUCAUACGUCUCCAACGUAUGUAUAAUUUUUUUUACUUCAUGUUGUUAUAAUAUCAAUCUUGUAUGCUUUAUAUGUCAUUUUAUAUUGUUUUUAUGGACUAACCUAUUAACUCGGUGCCAAGUGCCACCUCCUGCUUUCUGCAUGUUUUUAAUUUUCCAGGAAAUCCAUACCAAACAAAGUCCAAAGGCAACAAAAAAUUUUGAUGAUUUUUUUUGGACAAAAGGAAACUCUAGAAGCUUUGGGACGAGACCACAUGUGCCACGUGGGAGCCACAAGGUAGGGGCGUGCCAUGGGUGGUAGGGCAUGCCUGUUGGAAAUAUGCCCUAGAGGCAAUAAUAAAUUGUUUAUUAUUAUAUUUCCUUGAUCAUGAUAAUCGUUUAUUAUUCAUGCUAUAAUUGUAUUGAAUGGAAACAUAAAUACAUGUGUCGAUAUAUAGACAAAACAAUGUCCCUAGUGAGCCUCUAUGUGACGCCCUCGGUUUAAUCGUACGCUAAUCAUACACGCAAAUGCGUACGAUGAAACCCAGGGAGUCACGGGAAGAUAUCACAACACAACUCUAGACACAAAUAAAAUAAUACAAGCUUCAUAUUACAAGCCAGGGGCCUCGAGGGCUAGAAUACAGAAGCUCGAUAAGCACACGAGUCAACGGAAGCAACAAAUAUCUGAGUACAGACAUACACAUGGGGUGCCUUAGAGAAGGCUAGCACAAAAGGAACACGAUCGAACGAGGCGAGGCCUCCUGCCUGGGAACCUCCUAACUACUCCUGAUCAUCAGCGGCCUCCACGAAGAAGACACCAUCGGGACGGCAGGCGUCGGCAGGAAAACUCCAUCUCCUGGGCUCCAUCAUAUGGUCGCAGCAACGGAUCAAGGGGACAAGGGGGGAGCAAAGCAGCGUUGAGUACUCAUCCAAAGUACUCGCAAGUCUUACAUCAGAACUAUUCUAAAUAUGCAUCAGUAUCAAAGAANNNNNNNNNNNNNNNNNNNNNNNNNNNNNNNNNNNNNNNNNNNNNNNNNNNNNNNNNNNNNNNNNNNNNNNNNNNNNNNNNNNNNNNNNNNNNNNNNNNNAACAAUAGGUGCGGUUAUCAAAGACUUCUUAAGUAUUUCGAAAGCUUCCUCACAAUCCUCAUCAAAAACAAAAGGAACAUCCUUCUGCAAGAGGUUGGUAAGAGGCCUAGAAAUCUUAGAGAAGUUUUUAAUGAACCUUCUAUAGAAACCAACAUGACCUAGGAAACUUCAUAUACCUCUGAUAUCUGUGGGGCAAUGCAUUUUCUCAAUUGCAUCAACCUUAGCCUUAUCAACCUCAAUGCCUCUUUCAGAGAUUUUGUGUCCUAAGAUGAUGCCUUCAUUAACCAUAAAGUGGCACUUCUCCCAAUUCAAGACGAGGUUGGUAUCUUUGCAUCUCUGUAAGACUCGAUCAAGGUUGCUGAUGCAAUCAUCAAAGAAAGACCCGUAAACGGAGAAGUCAUCCAUGAAAACCUCGACAAUCUUUUCACAAAAGUCAGAGAAUAUAACCAUCAUACAUCUUUGAAAGGUGGCAGGUGCAUUGCAUAAGCCAAAAGGCAUACGUCUAUAAGCAAAGGUACCGAAGGGGCAGGUGAAAGUAGUUUUCUCCUAAUCAGAUUGUGCAACAGGUAUUUGCAAGAAACCUGAAUAAUCGUCUAGAAAGCAAAAGUGUGUGUGUUUGGAUAGCCUUUCUAGCAUUUGGUCGAUAAACGGCAAAGGAUAAUGGUCUUUCCUGGUUGCCUUGUUCAGUUUCCGGAAGUCCAUCACCAUCCUAUAGCCAGUAAUAAUCCUUUGUGGGAUUAAUUCAUUCUUAUCAUUAGGAACGACGGCGAUACCUCCCUUCUUAGGUACGCAAUGUACUGGACUUACCCAAUCACUAUGAGCAACAGGAUAAAUGAUUCCUGCUUCCAGAAGCUUUAAUAUUUCUUUUCUAACAACCUCUUUCAUCUUAGGAUUUAAUCUCCUUUGAUGACCAGCCACUGGUUUAGAAUCAGGAUCGGUUUUAAUCUUGUGCUGACAUAGAGUGGGACUAAUACCCUUAAGAUCAUCAAGAGUAUAUCCAAUAGCAGCACAGUGCUUCCUCAGAGUUUUUAGUAACUUCUUCUCUUCGUGCUCUGAGAGGAGAGCACUAAUAAUAACAUGAUAUAUCUCCUUCUCAUCAAGAUAGGCAUACUUAAGAGUAUGAGGCAAUUGUUUAAGCUUGAACACAUGAUCACCCUUUGGUGGGGGAGGAUCCCCAAGCAGUUCAACAUGCAAAUUAUUCUUGAGAAUAGGAUAUUGUUCUUAAACAAUUUUAUCUAUCUCAUCUCUUUCCUCCAUAUGCAUAUCAUUUUCAUGCUCAAGCAGAUAUUGCUCUAAAGGAUCCGUAGGAGGUACGGCAAUAGAGGCAAGAGCAAUGAUUUCAUCCCUACUAGACGACUCUUUUUCAUGGGGUUGUCUUCCAAACUUGGAGAAGUUAAAUUCAUGAGACACACCCUCGAAACUAACAGUGACAGUUUGCUUAAUGCAAUCAAUGUGAGCAUUGACAGUGUUGAGAAAGGGUCUACCGAAUAUGAUGGGAUAAAAGCUAUCUUAUGCAGUACCAAGGACGAGGAAAUCAGUAGGAUACUUCGUCUUACCACACAAGACUUCUACGUCUCUCACAAUUCCCAGAGGGCAGAGAGUGUCUCUAUUAGCUAGCGUAAUAGUGACAUCAAUGGGUUCUAGCUCAUCAGGUGCAAUCUCAUCUUUUAUUUCAUCAUAUAGGGAACGGGGUAUUGCACUAACACUAGCUCCCAUAUCACAUAAACCAUGGUAACAGUGAUCUCCUGUCUUGACAGAAACAACGGGCAGGCCAACUACUGGUCCGUAUUUGUCUUUCGCGUGAGGUUUAGCAAUUGUAGCGGAGUCCUCACAGAAUUUUAUAACAUGCCCAUCUAUGUCUUAGGCUAAUAGAUCUUUGAUAAUAGCAACACUAGGUUCAACUCUAAUCUCCUCAGGGGGUGCAAGUGGUCUAAUGUAACCCCUACGUAUCACAGUUGUAGCUUUAGAAUAAUCCUUUUUCCUAGCAGGGUAAGGUGGUUUCUCAGCGUAGGCACAAGGAACAACAGGAUCACUAAAAGAAAUGACUUUAUCCUCAACUAGAUUGGUUUUGACUAUGUUGCUUUCUACAGGAGGAUGAUACUUAAACCACUUAUCUUUGGGAAGAUCAACAUGAGCAGCAAAAGAUUCACAUAGAGAAGCUACUAUCUCAGAGUCAAGUCCAUACUUAGUGCUAAAAUCUCUAGAAGUGUUUGUCUCAACAAAAGAUUUAACGCAAUCAAACUGGAAAUUCAUACCUGACUCCUUACCUUCUUCCAGCUCGCAAUCUUCAGAGUUACGUUUGAUUCUUUCCAAUAAAUUCCACUUGUGGUCAAUAUCUUUCUUCAUAAAAGAACCGGUACAAGAAGUGUUAAGCAUGGUACGAUCUUCAUGAGAAAGCCGAGCAUAAAAGUUUUGAGUGAUAAUUUCUCUCGAGAGCUUAUGAUUGGGGCAUGAAUAUAACAUUGAUUUAAGCCUCCCCCAAGCUUGAGCUAUGCUUUCCCUGUCACGAGGCGUAAAGUUAUAAAUAUAAUUUCGAUCACGAUGUACUAAAUGCAUAGGAUAGAACUUUUGAUGAAAUUCCAAUUUCAACCGAUUGUAGUCCCAUGACCCAGUAUCAUCACAUAGCCUAUACCAUGUCAACACCUUAUCCUUCAAAGAUAAAGGAAAUACUUUCUUCUUUACCUCAUCCUCGGGCAAACCUGCAAGCUUAAAUAAACCAGAAACUUCAUCUACAUAGAUCGGAUGCAAGUCUGGAUGUGAAGAUCCAUCUCCUGUAAAAGGAUUAGCCAGCAGUUUCUCAAGCAUACCCGAAGGAAUUUCAUAAAAGAUAUUUUCAGUAGGUACCUUAGGUUGAGGAACAACUCCUCGUGCUUCCGUUCGUGGUGAAGAUACCCCGAACAAACUCCUCAAAGGAACAGUUUCCAUAGUGACAAGUGACAAUAAAUUUCAGCACAAUAUAUAAAUGUUUCCUUACCAAAUUCCACUUACCAAAGGCGCUUCACUCCCCGGAAACGGCGCCAGAAAAGAGUCUUGAUGACCCACAAGUAUAGGGGAUCAAUCAUAUUCCUUUCGAUAAGUAAGAGUGUCGAACCCAACGAGGAGCGGAAGGCUCUGAUAAACGGUUUUCAGCAAGGUAAUAACUGCAAGCACUGAAGUAGCGGUAACAAGUGAUGAUGUAGCGAGGUGAAACGUAGCAAGUGAAAAGUAACAAGUAACAAGUAGUAGCAAUGGUGCAGAAAGUGGCCCAAUCCCUUUUGUAGCAAGGGACAAGCCUGAACAAAGUCUUAUAGGAGGAAAAACGCUCCCGAGGACACACGGGAAUUUCUGUCAUGCUAGUUUCAUCAUGUUCAUGUGAUUCGCGUUGGUUACUUUGAUAGUUUGAUAUGUGGGUGGACCGGCGCUUGGGUACCUCCCUUACUUGGACAAGCAUCCCACUUAUGAUUAACCUCUCUCGCAAGCAUCCGCAACUACGAAAGAAGAAUUAAGACAUAGUCUAACCAUAGCAUUAAACUAGUGGAUCCAAAUCAGCCCCUUACGAAGCAACGCAUAGACUGGGGUUUAAGCUUCUUUCACUCCAGCAACCCAUCAUCUACUUACUACUCCCCAAUGCCUUCCUCUAGGCCCAAGUAUGGUGAAGUGUUAUGUAGUCGACGUUCACAUAACACCACUAGAGGAAAAGACAACAUACAACAUAUCAAAAUACCGAACGAAUACCAAAUUCACAUGACUAUUAUUAGCAUGACUUAUCCCAUGUCCUCAGGAACAAAAGUAACUACUCACAAAGCAUAAUCAUAAUCAUGAUCAGAGGUGUAAUGAAUAGCAUCAAGGAUCUGAAUAUAACUCUUCCACCAAGUAAUCCAACUAGCAUCAACUACAAAGAGUAAUCAACACUACUAGCAACCUUACAAAUACCAAUCGGAGUCACAAGAUGGAGAUUGGUUACAAGAGAUGAACUAGGGAUUGGAGAGGAGAUGGUGCUGAUGAAGAUGCUGAAUUCCAGCUACCUGAAUUUGGAGUUGUGCAGAAUAGAGGACUCAGAUUUUCUCCUUUUCUAGUCCAGAAUUCCAGCUACCUGAAUUCUCCCUCUUCAAAUAAACCUUGCAAAAUAAGAGAGAAAAUGCAUAAAUAUGUUACCACAAAGUAAUAUAACAACCCAUAAAGCGAUAAAUAUCAACAUGAAAGCAUGAUGCAAAAUGGACGUAUCACGACCCACUAAGACUGCGACUUGUCUAAUGGCUAAAGUUGAUGUGGGUUGGCUUUGGUAGUACCACUCUCUGCGUGGUAGUACCGCUCUAUGCGCGGUAGUAAUUUUUUACUACCGCGCUCAGGGCGGUAGUACCGAUCUAGGAGCGGUAGUACCGCUCCAGGUGCGGUAGUACUUUUUUACUACCGCUCUGUCGGACUUUUUUGCACAUCUUUUCCCCCAGCAGUGGUAGGCAUGGUAGUAUUUUUUACUACCGUGGUAGGUGAGCCUGCAAAGCGGUAGUACCGCUCCUAGGGCGGUAGUAUCGCUCCUAGCAGCAGUAGUACCGCUCUGCGAAAGGCUGUGAGUGGGGGGUAACGGUUGGAUUUGUCCCCCCACAAUAAGGGUGUCUUCUUCCUCAGGACAAACACCUCUUACCUCCCCAAGCUCCAUUGUUUCUCCAAAGCUCAUUCUUGCCUGAUCUCUCUCCCUAGACAAUCAAACUUGUUGAUUUUCUAGGGAUUGGUUGAGAAGGCCAAGAUCUACACUUCCACCAAGAGAUAUUUGAUUCCCCCCACUAAUCCCUUACGGAUCUUGUUACUCUUGGGUGUUUGAGCACCCUAAACGGUUGAGGUCACCUCGAAACCAUAUUCCAUUAUGGUGAAGCUUCGUGGUCUUGUUGGGAGCCUCCGCGCAUUGUGUGGAGAUUGCCCCAACCUUGUUUGUAAAGGUCCAGUCGCCGCCUUCAAGGGCACCAAUAGUGGAAUCACGACAUCUCGCAUUGUGUGAGGGCGUGAGGAGAAUCAUGUGGCCCUAGUGGCUUCUUGGGGAGCAUUGUGCCUCCACACCGCUCCAGCGGAGACGUACUUCGUGUCAAAGGGAGGAACUUCGAUAACACAUCCUCGUCUGCACUGGUUCCACUUGCGGUUAUCCCUGAAUGAUCUCUGCGUCGUUAAUCCCUUGAGAGGAAUAUAAUACAAUUAGCUUUUUUUCAUUUACAACCUUGUAUGGAGAAGUUGAUCUGAGUGUGUGAAGUACUUACAACAUCAAGCAUUUGACACGACUGCCAGCAAGCACAUCAAAGUUGAAGAAGAUAUGGAUGUCCUCAAAUUCCACAUGGAUGGUACCGGGAAGGUGAUUAAAAUGCCUACUAUCAUUGUGCACUUGCAUAAUGUUAGUAUCUUGUCCUUCUGACAUUCCGUGCAUGCAAUACUUAUGUAACUUGCGACAAGUGGAACUGCACUUCUCAAGGAAUUCGCCAAUAUGAAAUGGCGGGCCAUGCUUGUACUUGCAUGCUUCACAUGGGUCUUCAUUGGCCAUGCCAUGGUUCUGCUCGAAGAGUCUUUGUAAUAGAUGCUCUAGUUCUCAUCGCUCCUCUGUUUCUAUCAUGUGUAAUAACAAAUUGCCAAUUUUACCAAGAAGCUAAAUACAAAUGCAAUAGUCUUUGUAGUACAGGAUGCACACUGACAUUGUUUGAUGAGAUCAAAUUAAUAGUGAAAGGUAUGUACAUUCUGUUGUCAAACAUGCCAAUCUAUUAAAAACUGCUUCUCUUGCACCUUGUUAUUUUCACUAAGUCUCAGAAUCUGUUUAUUUCAGAUUACCAUUUUGUGUUGAUGCUAGCCAUGUUUCUGUUCAUAAUUAGACCUUGCUCAUGUUGAAUGAAAUGGAGUGCAUCAUGUCUCCUACCAUGCUGUAGAUCUUCAUGCCAUGAUAAGUCCUGUCGCAUAUAGUUUUUUUUGCUGUCAAUAUGCCCUCCGGUUAAAAUUGUUUGUGAAAAACUAUUAUUUUUACUAACUCCCUAAAUGCUAUAUUUUAUAGUCAUGAUGUGAGCUUCCUACCAUGUGAUCCAAAAAAAUUUCAUAACAUAUUACUUUUGAUAUCAGUUAAAAUGGCACCCACAAGCAUAGAACUGUGACAAUGUAUUAAUCACAUCGAGAAUCAUAUAGCACAUGGGAAGUGUCUAAAUCACACCUAAUAUAACAAAUGAUUUCUAACAGCGAGAGUUAGACUAACCUUCUUUGCACGUCCGAGAAACUUCCUCCCACUGUACCCAGAUUCAAAAGCUCCUAACUUCAUGGAUAGAAAUUAAUGUUGACCAUGAACAUGCAGGUCUUCAGCUACCCCGCUCCAUUCCUUGAAGUACUUGUCCUAGGGNNNNNNNNNNNNNNNNNNNNNNNNNNNNNNNNNNNNNNNNNNNNNNNNNNNNNNNNNNNNNNNNNNNNNNNNNNNNNNNNNNNNNNNNNNNNNNNNNNNNCAGUUACGUUGCGACGUUUGAUACACACAAAGCAUUCCUCCGGUGUCAGUGAGUUAUAUGAUCUCAUGGUCAUAGGAAUAAAUACUUGACACGCAGAAAACAGUAGCAACAAAAUGACACGAUCAACAUGCUACGUCUAUUAGUUUGGGUCUAGUCCAUCACGUGAUUCUCCCAAUGACGUGAUCCAGUUAUCAAGCAACAACACCUUGUUUAUAAUCAGAAGACACUGACUAUCUUUGAUCAACUGGCUAGCCAACUAGAGGCUUGCUAGGGACGGUGUUUUGUCUAUGUAUCCACACAUGUAAAUGAGUCUUCAUUCAAUACAAUUAUAGCAUGGAUAAUAAACUAUUAUCUUGAUACAGGAAUUAUAAUAAUAACUAUACAUUUAUUAUUCCCUCUAGGGCAUAAUUCCAACACUAGGCCGCCGCCCGUCCUCUUGGAGGUAGCCAUAGGGAUGGCCACCUCCACCCCUCCCCUAUAUAUAUAUGAGAGGAGAGUAAAGGAAGCCGCACCACAAGGCACAUCGCAUCCCCUCUGUCUCUCUCUCAUAGUUCUUCUCCUCUGUCGCGUCACGGUAGUGCAUGGCGAAGUCGUGCCGAGAUCGCACCACCACCGGGGGGGGGGGGGGGGCUCAUCUACUACUCUACCCUCGCUCGCUGGAUCGAGGAGGCGGAGAGGUCAUCAAGUUGUACGUGUGCUGAACGCGGAGGUGUCAUCUGUUUGGUGCUAGAUCGGGAAAAUUGUGAUUCGAUCGCGAAGACGUACGACUACAUAAACCGCGUUUCUUAAUGCUUCCGCUUAGCGAUCUACAAGGGUAUGUAGAUGCACCCCCCUCUCGUACAUGUUAAUCUCCAUAGAUAGAUCUUGGGUGUUCGUAGGAAUUUUUUAUUUCCCAUGCAACAUUCCCCAACAAUAUCACAGGGUUUUGAUGUACCUGCAAAGUUUGCACCAAGUCUGGUGGUGAGAAUGAGCAAUGCACGAAGAGACUAGCAAAUUAUGGAUACGUGGGAGUGCUUAUAGUCCACAAACUCACAUUAGUCAUAAAGAACUCAAGUGUUUAUUGCUAAAAUCCUAGAAUUCCUCGAAGCAAAGUAUUACUCGGAUGCUCCAAGGAGGGAGGUUGGGAGUAUUUAACCAUCGUGUGCCCCAAUCCAGACAACACAAAGGAUAUCAAUCAAUGAUAAAUUAUGGUCCAAAUUCUUGGCAUGCCAUGACAUGCAUUUUAAUGAAUGGGACAUCGCAAAACUUAACACUGAUAUUUUUACUAGACCAAGAUUAUUAACUAGUAAGCCUUCAUAUUAUAACCUAAAUAUUGUUUAUCAAAUGCAACUUAUUCAGUGAUACACAUGAAAGUUUUUGUUAUACCACUCUUGUAUACCUAUUGUUUUUGGGACAAACAUAUAAGUCAUGCAAGUUAGCACUACCUAUUCAAUUCUCAAAAAUGUAUAAGUGAAGCAAGAGAGUGCAAAAUAUUUCUAUGAAAUAUAUGUAUCACCAUGCUCAAAAGAUAUAAGUGAAGAACAUCAACACUUUUGCCUCCAGUCAACAGAUAUAAGUGAAGUUCAAUGAGCAUUCCAUAAAUUGAGAUGAAUAUGUGUGUCUCAUAAUGGGUUCAUUCGGUAAACAAUGAUUCUUGAAACAAGCAAAUAGAUAAAACAAAAACACACAAAACUCCAAGCAUAACACAUAUCAUGUGAUGAAUAAAAAUAUAGCUCCAAGUGAUUUUGCCAAUAUAUUGAGGAUGAAAGAGGGGAUGCCUUCUCGGGCAUCCCCAAGCUUAGAUGCUUGGAUCUUCCUUAAAUUUUACCUUGGGGUGCCUUGGGCAUACCCAAGCUUAGCCUCUUGUUGGUCCUUAUUAUUUUCUCCAUCGUGAUUUCACCCAAAACUUGGAAAUUUCAACCACACAAAAGCUAACAAACCUCAUGAGAUCCAUUAGUAUAAUAAAAUAAAUCAGUAACUUAGGUACUGUCAUAAAUAGAUUCAUAAUUGUUCUUAGAUAAUACAUACUUUAUUAUUAUCACCAUGACUUAUAGCCCCCGAUACUAUCCAUAGAAACUUAAAAAUAAGCACAUUAUGCAAUAAAAACAAAAUUUAUCUAAAACAGAACAUCAUGAAAAUAUCUAGUUUUUAGUCAUACUUAUUUAACUCCAAAUAUUUUGAACACUUAUGAUAUAGACAAUUUAUAAUUCAGUGAUGUGUAAAAAUUUAAGGAAUUUAUCAUGCUAUAGUAUAGAAAAACAAUUCAAUGUUUGACCGUAAAGUUUAUGCUUCCCCACGGAACCUAGUAAACAAAUAUUUUUCAACAUCCCAAAGGCUUUGCGUGGCAGAAAAAUAAAAUGAAAGGUACAAAUGUAAUUAAUACAGAUGCAAUAACAAUUUUCAGUCACAUAAAAAUAAAAAGUAAAAGGGAUAAAUGUUUGGUUGCCUCCCAACAAGAUCUUUAUUUAUAGCCACUAAGGUAGGCUUGGGAGUUUAAUGAUGCUGAAAUAGAAGACCAGAAUUGAAGCACGAGAGAGCAUAAUAUAGCAUGCAAAAACACAUUUAAGUGUAACUCUCUUCCUACGCUUAGGUACCUUAUAAUAAAAUAAAUUAUCAAAGCAAGCAAAACUUAGCAUGUGCACGGAAGAGGAAAUAAACAUUAGUGAUCUUAACAUGAAGAGAGGUAAUUUAGUAACAUGAAGAUUUCUAUAACCAUACUUCCCUCUCUCAAACUAAUUACACGUAUCAUCGUAUUCAAAAUUAGUAAUAUAGGUGUCAAAUAACAUAUUCUCGACAUGGUCCACAUGCAUACAAAUUUUUAUAAUCCCCAAGCUCAUAAAACUCAUUAUCCCCAAGCUUAUUGCUUUGCGUAUCAUUAGCAUAAAUUGGCAUUCAUAGAAGUUAUAGUAACAUCAUUGCAAUCAUGAUUUUUAUUCAAGAAAUGAUAAUGAAUCACUUUAUGCAAUUUUUAUUUUAACAAUUCAUCACCUUACUUGGAUUCACGAUUUUCAAGGAAAACUUCACAAAGAUAAUGAAGUGCAAUCAACCUUUUUAUCUUUUCUUUCAAAUAGAUUAUAUAAACAACAUUCAUCACUAGAAAUUGGUUUAUUAGAUAUUCUGGAAUUAUCUAAUAUUUUACUAAGCGAAGAUGCAAGCAAAUAGAAGGCACAUGGCAACACAAGCAGAGAUAGUGAUAGAAAUACUUUUGGUGUUUUUAAUUUUUGAUAAAGCAAAUAACAGCAAAUGGCAAAGAAAUUAAAACAAGCAAAUUGAUAAAUUUGUGUGAAGGCACCUAGGUUAUUCGGUGAAGCCUCCCCGACAACAGUGUGAGAAAUCCUUCUGCUAUUUGGUGUAUGUGUUUGGUUUUCCCUCAAGAGGAAAGGAUGAAGUAGUAUAGUAGAAAAUAGUAUUUCCCUCAUUUAAUAAUCAAGGUUUCCAAACCAAUAGGAUACACCACACAGAUAACGUCAAUAGUACCUGCACACAGACAUAAAGCAAACGCUUGCACUCAACAAAGGCAAGAUGGUUGUCAAUCCCCUUGUUCACACUGAUUUGAAGGAUUAAAUCUGGUAGUGAUAGGUAUAUAAAUAAAUUAAAUUAAUAACAUCAAGUAAUUUCAUCUUACUUACGCAAAGCCACAAUGGUGAUAUGCAAAUUGCUAUUUAACCUUUCUACAAGGACCGCCUCGGUCAAAUCCGAUACAACUAAAGUUGAAGAAACAGACACCCGUCAGUCAUCUUUAUGCAACAAGUUGCAUGUUAGUCAAUGAAACCGUUCUCUUGUAAGCAUACGAGUAAGGUUGGCCCGGGCCGCUUUAGUCCAACAAUACCGCCGAAUCGAGAAAAGACUAAGGAGGGCCGCAAAUCGAACAUCAACGCCCACAAACACUUUUGUGUUCUACUCGAGAUUUCAUCUACGCAUGAACCUAGCUCAUGACGCCACUGCUGGGGAACGUUGCAUGGGAAACAAAACUUUUUCCUAUGCACACGAGGAUCUAUCAUCGUGAUUAUCAUCUACGAGAGGGAGAUCGGAUCUACAAACCCUUGUAGAUCGCUAAGCAGGAAGUGUUAAGAAAUGCGGUUGAUGUAGUGGAACGUCUUUGUGAUCCAAAUGGCCAUCGUCCCACGAUCCGUCCCGAUCUAGCACCGAACGGACGGCACCUCCGCAUUGAGCACACGUACAGCUCGAUGACGAUUUCCGCCUUCUUGAUCCAGCAAGAGAGAUGGGGAAGUAGAUGAGUUCUCCAAUAGCGUGAGGGCGCGUCGGAGAUGAUGGUGAUCUAUUCCUGCAGGGCUUCGCCUAAGCACCGCAGAAAUCCGAUCUAGAGGAGGAACUACAAACUAGAGGAGAGGGUUGCACGUGGCUGAAAUUGUGUCUCAAAAACCCUAAAACCUCUAGUAUAUAUAGGGGGGGGGGGAGGAGGCAGCCUUGCCCACCAAGGGAAAACCCUUGGGGUCGGCCGAACCAAAGGAGGGAGGAGUCCUCCUCUAAUCCUACUUGGAUUAGGACUCCUUCCCAAAUUGUCCACCUCUUUUGGAUUUUCCAUCUUUUUCCACAUGGGAUUUAUUUGGUUGAUUAGACAUCCCACUAAGUGAUAUUGCGCCACCAUGAAGUUCACGUGGACAUCUUGGGAGGGUGGGCCCACCUGGUGGGCCCCCGGUACCCAUUCGUCACUCCCGGUACACUCCCCGCAAUGCCCGAAAUUCUUCCGGAAUCCAAAUAUCAACUUCCUAUAUAUCAAUCUUCGUUUCCGGACCAUUCCGAAACUCCUCGUGACGUCCAUGAUCUCAUCCGGGACUCCGAACAGAACUUCGGUCACCAGCACUUAUAACUCAACUAUACCGAAACGUCACCGAACCUUAAGUGUGCAGACCCUGCGGGUUCGAGAACUAUGCAAACAUGACCUGAGACACUCCCUGGUCAAUAUUCAAUAGCGGGACCUGGAUGUCCAUAUUGGAUCCUACAUAUUCUACGAAUAUCUUAUCGGUUGAACCUCUAUGUCAAGGACUCAUAUAAUCCCGUAUACCAUUCCCUUUGUCCUUCGGUAUGUUACUUGCCCGAGAUUCGAUCGUUGGUAUCUCCAUACCUAUUUCAAUCUCUUUACCGACAAGUCUCUUUAAUCGUUCCGUAAUACAAGAUCCCAUGAGUAACUCUUUAGUCACAUUGCUUGCAAGGCUUAUAUGUGAUGUUGUAUUACCGAGUGGGCCCCGAGAUACCUCUCCGUCACACGGAGUGCCAAAUCCCAGUCUUGAUCCAUGCUAACUCAACGGACACCUACGAAGAUGCCUGUAGAGUACCUUUAUAGUCACCGAGUAACGUUGCGACGUUUGAUACACACAAGGCAUUCCUCCGGUGUCGGUGAGUUACAUGAUCUCAUGGUCAUAGGAAUGAAUACUUGACAUGCAGAAAACAAUAGCAACAAAAUGAAACGAUCAUAUGCUACGUUCGUAGUUUGGGUCUUGUCCAUCACAUCAUUCUCCUAAUGAUGUGAUCCCGUCAUCAAGUGACAACACUUUUCUAUGACCAGGAAACCUUAACCAUCCUUGAUCAACAGGCUAGUCAACUAGAGACUCACUAGGGACAUAGUUUUGUCUAUAUAUCCACACAUACAUUUAUGUUUCCAUUCAAUACAGUUAUAGCAUUGAUAAUAACCGAUUAUCUUGAAACAGGAAUAUAAUAAUAACUAUUUUAUUAUUGCCUCUAGGGCAUAUUUCCAACAAUAGUUGCCGUGGAAGUGAGUCUCAAGACUCUCGGCUUGCCCCCUUUGCUCGGGCUCGAGGGGCGGUUCUCGGCAAUGGCAGUGUCUGCCCUGCACUGCCUCGGCGGCGUGGGGGCGAGACUGCCACCUUCUUGUGGUCGAAUAGGGCCCCCUCGCGCGUCAAGUUCUUCGGGUGGCUGCUGACCUUGUCGCACAUCCACACACGUGACGUACUCCUCCGCAAGACCAUCCUGACGACGGAGGAGGCUGGGUGCCCGUGCCGUGAGGCGGUUCUGGAGAACACCGAUCACCCCAUCUUUGGUUGUCCCUUCACGGUGCGGUUUUGGAGGUGCCUCAGCGUGUCACUGGAGGGCGCCUCGGUUAGGGCCCUUCACCUCUUCAUCAUUGCGGGCGCGGUCGGUGGCGCCUCUCCGGAUGCCUUCGUCAUCCUCUGUUGUUGGAGGUUCUCAAAGCGACGGAACGUUGUGGUGUUCCGGGACGUCACGUCGUCUCUGGCCGCCACGCUAAAAGCCUAUCGUGACGACGCGUUGGUGUGGCGGGCCAGGAUGAAAGUUGCAGACCACACACAUAUUAUGUGUGACUCGGUGUGCUUAGAUCUCUCUAACGGCCUACCUUUUGGCUGACGUCCCUCAUGUGGCUUUCUCAUCUUUCUGUGUAAAUAUGUCUUUCGGGAUUGGGGUUUCUCCCCCUUCCUUUAGAGCAACUCUAGCAGACCCCGCAAAAUGUCGGGUCCGCAAAAAAUCCGACGAGUAUGCGGGUUUGGGUUGUUUUUCCUGCCACAGCAGAUACUGCAAAUGCGCCCCAACCCGUAAAACUUUUGGGGUGGCCCGUAAACGCGAGCGCUCGACUGGUAUAUCUGCGGGUUCGACCGCUGGAUGCGGGUCGUAACCCUAUCCCUCCGCCGCCGCAAAAAGUUCCCCCACCUAACCGUCGGCGCCUCCAAUCCGCCGUCGCGCGCCUUCAUUCCGCCGCGUAGCCGCUCCAUUCCAUCGCCUGUGAUGGCCAACUCCGGUAGCCGUAGGAACGACGACCCCGAGAGGGCUCGCUCCGUUAGAUCCGACGCCGCCCGUAAGCGCGCCGCCCGCCGGUACACGCAGUGGGGCCAGACGCCUCCGCCAUUGCUCCUCCGUCGCGAGACAGAGGAGUACGACCGCGCGUGCGGCCGCCUCUUUUCCGGCAACUCCUUCGAGGCGUCGAGCUCGCGCUCGUGCUCCUCCCCCCGGUGAAGAGGGAGCUAGAAGAGCUCCCGUCGAUGAAGAUGGAGCCGGAGGCCGAGGCGGUGUCAGAGCGAUGUGCCGGGUCGUCUUCGGACCGAAGGAUUUCCUCCCUCCGGCGGAGGAGGAUAGCCUUUUGCUCGUGCUGCUGGCGCGGAGUGCACGAGAGGCGGAAGAGGACCAGCAGCGCCGCCGGAGGGAGGAGGAGAUCGACGCCAUGCUCUACGAGCAGGGUGUCGCCUCGGCCCUCGCCUUCGGCCACAAGGUGGAGGAGUGGCGCCGCGAAGCGACUGCGCAGGAGCGCAUCUACAUCGAGCUCUCCUCCUCCGACGACGACGACUGAGCGCACUGCGCAUCUACUACCGCACGAGCUCGACUCCGGUGAGCUCAAUUUUGCGUAGUGCGGUAGGAUAGAUAGUAGCUCUGGUGAGCUCCGAUGAGCUCCAGUAGGUGUGCUCCCCCCUCUAGUAAGUGAUGUAGGUUGUGAAUGUAGUUUGUAUGAUCAUGUUCGAUGUAGGCUGUGAAUGCAGUUUGUAUGAUCAUGUUCGAUGUAGACUGUGGUUCCAAUUUCGCCCAGGAAUGUUUUAUUUCAAAUUAUGCAGUUUGAUUAUACGGGUUCUAUUCUGCGGCGCAACAUUUCGUCCCGCAAAACCCCACUUCGUCGAACUGUAAAACGCGUUUGCAGGCCGCAAUUAUACAGGGUCUGCUGGAGUUGCUCUUAAAACAAUAUAUUCAGGUGGUUGAGGGGCUUUCCACUCCUUCCGCAAUGAAAGUUCAAAAAAAAUUGUUACAAGUGGUGUUCAUUGUGUUUGUAUGUGCUUAAUUCUUUAUUAUGAGUCAAUAAAGAUACCCUUUACUCUUUAUCCAUAAAAAAGUAUUCACUUGCUUCUUCUUUUCACUUUUUUUAGGACUCGCUUCUGCUCUUCGAGUCCCUAAAAUCCAUGAGGUCUUGGUGCGUAGGGUUUGAGAAGGUUUGUAGGGGAUUAUUUCCGAGGGGAUCAGAAACCCCGCGAUUCCCCGCAUGUUAAUUUGGUAAACAGGGUUUGUGAUGAGCAAAUCCCUUCAAUCAUCUCUAAUCCUCCUUGAUUUUUUUCUACCCAUACCGUUCAGAAACCUUGUCUCGUGACUCAAGUAUUUGAUAAUUAAAAGGAUUUGAGAGGACUGGGUGGUGAAAGGAAGGAAUUCACCCAAUCCUCUGGGAAANCCUCCACAAUCCUCUUCAACGCCUUCCUCUCGAACAAGGCGUGAUGUGUCGACCACCGGGUGGUUUCUUCGUGACCGCGAUCGAAGCUACCAGUAAAAAGGUAAGUCUCUCGCAGCCGUCCGAUCAGUAUGUAAAAAUCCCAGGUUAGCCUGCUCGGCCAGACGGUAGGACAAGGGCGCCCUGAGCCGCCGGCGCGUUCGGCGCGGCCGGCCACAUGGGCGCGGUGCUUUGAACCUCCCGCGAACCAACAGCUCGCUGCAGCUGCACAUGCAGGCCCUCUCGCUCCGCCCCAGCUGUCUGAGCACAUGGCCCGGCUCUACCUGCUGCUCCUACUCGUAGCCGAACACUAUGCACAGCACAGCUACCGGACAAACUUUCUGCUAUAGUACAGUGGUACUAGUACUAGUUUUCUAUGGCUCGCCUCGUCAGACUCUGGCACAGCCAUCUCGCUUCUCGCCGUUUGGAUCGUGGCCUCCUCGUGGCCAGGUCAAGCUCGACAGAUGCAGGACAGACUGUAAAACUAUGCAACGAGCGGCGGAUCUGGCCCUGAUCAGAUGUUUUUCUUAAUUUUUAUUGACGAUCCACGUACAGUUUCCAAGAAAUGGCCGCGACGUAUAAUGCCUUUGCGACCUAGCAAAACCUUAGGUGUUCUUUGUGCGAGCUUAUAGUGGAUAAUGGCCGGUUUUUGGUUCAUAUUCAUGUUUUUGUUCUUAACAGUUUGAUGUUCUUCUCUCUAGCUAUCUGAAACUGUUGUCUAAUAGCCGAGUGAAUCAGUUUGCAGAAAGCAGCAUCGUUACAGGUGCACCACAACCACAAAGUAGCAUCUCAAGAUCGGGCUCCCAGAAUACAUACAAGAAGAAUAAUGGUAAAAUGCAUAAAUUAAAUCAAUGAUGGUAAUUACAGCAGAACAAGAGGGUACACCAAUGUGCGGACGGAAGGGGGGAAAGAGGGAGAGAAAUGGAACAAAGGCUGCAAAGAAACAAUGAAAUGAUACAUCGUGGUGUCAUCUAAAAGACGUAGAUGGCGGCGGCGGCGACGGCCAGCACGAAUGCGGGGCGGAGGCCGGCGNNNNNNNN